GCUUCAGUGUUUCUUCUUUUCAUCAUCUUCUCAGUCACACCAUCAUCCUUUUUGUUUGGUGUGGCCAACGCUACAAAUGAACCUGUGCUCGACACUGAUGGCAACGAAGUCCAAACAGGCACCGAAUACUACGUUGUGUCGGCGAUUUGGGGUGCUGGUGGUGGUGGGCUUGCCCUAGGCUGGCCUAGUGGAAACCCAUGCCCUGAAGUCGUUGCUCAAAGCCGAUCUGGUGACGAUGGUAUUCCGGUGAUAUUUUCUAAUUUGGACUCCAACGAUGGCGUUGUUCGCCUAUCCUCUGACAUAAACAUAGAGUUCAUUCCCCUCAGACCCAGACUUUGCCCAACAACAACGGUGUGGAAGGUCGAUGAUUACGACCAUUCAGCCGGAAAAUGGUGGGUGAUAACCGAUGGGGUUACAGGGAACCCAGGUGCCAACACUUUGACCAGUUGGUUUAGAAUAGAGAAGGGGGGUGCUCUUGGUUACAAAUUGAAGUACUGCCCCGCAGUAUGUGGAACAUGCCCCGCCUUAUGCAACGAAAUUGAGAGGGGCUUUGAUGGAGAAAUGGUACGUUUGGCUCUCUCCACUGGCAAUGGAUGGCCAUUUAUCUUUAAGAAAGUUGGAAAAUCAGCCACGGAGAUUCAACAAGUUGUUCAUAAUUAGAUUGAAAGCAAUCAUUAUGCAUGAACUAGUAGUUACUACUUAAUAUUAGCUUCAAGUAAAUAAUGCUGAGAGAACUUAUUGUUAAGAUUGCCUUGUUUGAAGCGGCAGCAUGUAUAUAUAUAUGCUUGCUCACAAGGUUUGUCUCUCAGAGUCCUCCUCUUUGUAUUCUUUUCAGCUUAAUGAAUAAACUAUUUACUUAUUUACUUCUUUUGUUGCCAUUGAUUCUAGUAGCAUUCGACUCAUUAACUUGGAUACAUUACCUUGUAAUUAACCAAAAACUUAUGUGUGUAUAUAUAUAUAUCAAAACAAAAAAAAAGAGUGAGAGAGGAAAAUAGACUACCAAGUACCAAGUGAAAAAUGGUGAUACUAAAUUUCCAGAUAUAUGGCGUUGUUUGUGUGUGACAAACACCAAGUAUAAAUAGGUGGAAGUAUGACUACUUAUCAAGAGUGGUAUGGCUCAAAAACUACCCUCAUCGAAUUAUUUCAUCCUACUCAUUCAUUAUCAAUAGGAAGAAGGAUACUUCCAACAAGAAAUAUUUUGAAGGGUUAGUGUUGAGUUAGCUAAAAAUCAAAGUUUAUCAGAAGCUCGAUCUAAAAUUCGCCAAAAGGAAGAUUAUUCAAAGCAAUUUCAAUGCACAACGGGAAUGGAAUAGUCUUUGAGUGGUUAGGGCACCUUAUCUUUUGAGAUAAAGAAGGGUUGGUCCAUGUUGGAGUUCGUGACUAAUCCUUACAACAAUGUCGUUUUCAAAGUUUGAACCUAUGUCAUCCUUUGAACAUGUAAUUUGUCUUACCAUUACACCUAACAUUGUUGGUGAUUUACUUUAUUAUAUUUUUAAUUAAUAAUUAUGAUAUAUAGUAUAUUUAAGAUGGAUUUUCUUAUUCAUGUAUAUCAAUUGAAUAAAAUAUUUGUAUUUAAAAUUUUAACUCGACAUAUCAAAGGUCUGCUACUCUAGCACGUCUCUGAUCUGCUGCUCUAGCAUGUUUUGGUUUUUUUAGGGUUUUUUUUUGCUUAUUUCUCUUUGUUCUGGCAAUGACAGUUCUUGGGAUAGAGUAUUUCUUCUCAAUCUUUUGAUUUUGAUUCGUGGCAAUGGAGGAUGAAUUGGCAGAGUUAACAUUGAAAGAUGAGGAAUAGGAGAUUUGGCUAGUACAGAAGGAAACUGAUUUUGCGACAGUGGUUUAAGAUCUUUGUCCGGUUGGAUGCUUUCUCACAACAAGUGUAAUCCACUUACGACAAUGAGAAGCGCGACUGUGAAUCUAUGGUAUCCUCUUAGAGGAGUUUAGAUCUCUAAUUUGGGGGAUAAGAGGUUAUUAUUUCAAUUUUUUCAUAAAAUGGAUAUUGAUAGGGUACUAAAUGGGGAUCCAUGGACUUUCAAUAAUCAUCUUUUGGUGUUUCAUUUUUUGGAGGAUGGUGAGGAUCCAAUGAAGGUACUGCUAAUCUAUACGACUUUUAGGGUACAAGUGCAUGAUUUACCCCCAGGGUUUUUUACUGAAUCUAUAGCAAAGAAGUUAGGUAAUUUUAAGGGUAAGGUUUUUAGAUCAAUGGCAAAAGCUUGGGUAAGGGCCUCAAGAAUUUCUUACAUAUACGGGUUUAGAUGGAUGUUAGACGCUCUUUAAAGCAAAAAAAGAAGAUUAUGUUUUCACUUGGGAAGUGUUCCUAUGUCAACUUGAUAUACGAAUGACUAACUCUGUUCUAUUUCUUCUAUGGUUGUUUGGGACACAAUGACUCUUUCUGUUAGGUUAGAAUGACUAAAGGAUUAGAAGUUUUAGAGAUGGGAUGGUAUCUAUCUCUAAAAGCCCAGUCUAGGAGAGUUGCUACGAUAAACAGUGUGUGGCUGCGGGAGGAAGGUGAAGGGGAGAUAAGGGGAAAUACCCUAAGGCAUUUUGAUUUGGGGUAGGGACUGUGGGAGGAUGGAAGGAAAGAAUCUAGGAUGCCCAUAGAUCCUGUGUUGGGGUUAAAUUUGGAGGGUGAUUUGAAUAUAGUGUCGGGUAUGCAAGGGGACUCUUCAAACAUAAAGGAUCAUUUGAAUAUGGAUCACGACUCGGAGAGGUGGAGAUGGGAAAAAAAGACCCAAAAAGGAUAAUGAAAAUCAUAGUGUUUCGAUUGUGACAGAUUCACUUGUGAUUAGAGAUGAGAGAUCGCUGGGACGAACUCACUUUUUAUCGGCGGUUGCCAGGGGCAAGAUGAUCGGUCGCAAUGAAAAUAAUUAGUUGGAACGUCUGUUGAUUGGGGUGUCCACGAGCUAUAAGAAGGCUUCGACAUAUGCUGAAGGUGUAUAAUCCCCAAGUGGUCUUCUUUAUGGAGACAAAAAUUAGUAAUGUGCAAAUGGAGAAUGUGCAUAGAAGGUGUGGAUUUUUAAAUGGUAUUGAUGUUUCUGCCGAUGGUUUAAGAGGAGGUCAUUUUUUAGCUUGGAAGAAAAAUGUUAAAACGAAUUUAAGGAGUCAUUCUAGUAGUCAUGUAUAUGUUGUAUUUUAGGAGACUGAUAAUGGAGGUUUACUGGCUUCUAUUGGACAUCGAAUACGCGUAGCAGAGACAAUUCAUGGAAUUUGUUAAGAAAUCUAGGACGCUCUCAGGAGUUCCCUUGGCUAGUGUGUGAUAAUUUUAAUGAAAUUAUGUACUCUUUUGAAAAGUUAGGGUGCCAAGAGAGGAGAGGAGAAUGGAGGUCUUUCGAGGAGUCUUAGAGGAAUGUUAGUUAAUGGACAUUGGAUACUUUAGGGCUUGGUUUACCUGGGAAAGGGGAAACUUACCGAAAACGAAUAUGAGAGAGCGACUAGAUAGAGGAGUGGUGAAUGUCGAAUGGAUGAACAUGUUUUCUAGUGCAGUGGUUUAGCAUUUACCACAUUCUUUUCCAGAUCAUUGUCCCCUUCUUAAUUAUACGGAGCAGGAGAGUAUUAGGUUGAGGCAGAAAAGGUUUCAGUCUGAGGCAUGGUGGGUAAUGUAAGAAUCUUUUAAGGAGGAGGUUAAACAAACAUGUCAAUCUACUUCGGGUGAUAUGUUGGCUAGGCUAGAAGGUGUGAGGAAGGGCUUGCUGAGAUGGGUGGGUUUUGUUAGAAAUAAAAGAGAGGGCCUUAAGAAGGAACUGACUAGAAAAUUAGAGGAGAUGAUGGGAAAGGAUAGAGAUGAUGAGAAUAUUGUUGAACUAUCUUAAGAUUCUCUUGUCAUAACUUGAAGUUGGUGUCAUUUAAUAUAAGAAUACAAUUAAUGCCUGCAAUAAUGUUGGCAGGUAUAAUCAUUGUUGUAUCAAACAAAACAAUCUCACGUAUGACUUCAAAUAUAAAACAAAAUAAUAAUUAAUUCAAAUAAAGGUAAACCCUAAGAUACCAAUCACUCCAUUAAUAUUUCAUUUUUGGACAAAUAUAUUAAGUUGUAAAUGAUAUCUUGGUGUAGUAAUUAAACAUCGACAAUAAGCGUCACAUGUUUAUUACAACAGUUGCAAAUGUAAUUUUGUUAAAUAUAAGCCUCCAUUUAGACCAGUCAAUAUUAACAUAACUUAAGUUACUUGCACACAACUCCAAAAUUAUAAAAGUCCAAUUGUUAAACCGAUUUGGUUCCUUUAACAUAGGAAAGCCGAAUUGCAUAAACAAUCAAUGUAUCCCCUAUUUUAUUCAUGUUUAUCACAAUGUUUGGAGUGCUCACUCUUUUAGGGUGUGCUUACCAUUUAGGUUAAAAAGCAUCAUUCAACCCAAACAAUUUUUUAAAACCAAACAUUAAUUUUAAACUAGCAUUUUAGGCCAACCCAAAACUUCUAGCUUUUACCUUUCGGAAAGGUGCUUUUCAAUUAAAAACCUUUUUAUUCCUCAUUAAAUCUUCUUAUUUAUAACAUAAUGUCUAAAAUAGAAAUUUUAUUUUUCUAAAAACACUUAUAGACAACAAUAAUGUUAAGUAUAACUCCUAUUUUUAGUCAAAUUUGAAAAAUAAUCUUUUAGUUAAACUCUGUUUAUUUAUUUCAGUCAAACACUGAUUAGUUUAGAUUAUUUUUUUAUUAUUUGACAUAUGAAUUUAGCCUAUAAAUAGGCUCUUUUACAACCUUAGAAAUAACACCCAUUAGAGAUUAGAACUCAUAACACAUUUAGAGAAUUUUGUGUUUACGUUUUGAGAGUUCUUUGUUUUCGGGUUUUCGGGGUUUAGUUUUAUCUCUAUCUUUUAUACUCUUCGUUCUUUUGCCAUUAUAAUAAAAUUAUCUUUGCCCGUGAUUUUUUAUCCUCUUUGGAGGAGUUUUUCCAUGUUAAAUUUGUGUGUUCAAUUUCUCAAUUUAUUCUGCUAUUUUUGUUACUUGUUGCUUAAUCGGGCCGAUCCCUAACAAGUGGUAUCAGAGCUAGUUCAAAGAUUAGCCAUUUAGAUAUGGCAACAACAAGGUUUGAAAUUGAGAAGUUCGAUGGUGAGACAAAUUUCAAUCUGUGGCAAGUUCGGAUGAUGGCAAUUCUAGUUCAAUCCGGUUUGAAAAAGGUUGUUACCGGGAAAAAACCUGAGAAUCUAAAUAAAACAGAAUGGGAAGAGCUUGAUGAAAAGGCAUUGUCUGCAAUCUAGUUGUGCCUCGCGAAUACUGUAUUGCAGGAGGUAUUGAUGGAGAAGACCUCAUCCGCCUUGUGGAAAAGGUUAGAAACUUUUUAUGCGACUAAGUCUCUAGCUAACCGUUUAGUGUUGAAACAACAUCUAUUUACGUUUCGCAUGAACGAAGGUAAGCUUCUUAGAGAUCACACAGUCAAUUUAUUACUCUUUUAAAUGAUUUAAAGAACGUUGAGGUUCAUAUUGAUGAUGAAGAUCAAGCUAUGCUAUUAUUAUGCUCUUUACCCCCUUCAUACAAGUCUUUUAGGGAGACCCUGAUUUAUGGCAAAGACAAAAUCUCGUUCGAAGAUGUGAAGGGUCAUUUGUUGAGUAGAGACAAACUCGACAAUGAGCUUCAUUUGGAUACCAAGGCAGAUAGGCAAGUUUCCAUUUUAGUAGCAUCAAAGAAACGAGACAAAAGGUGUCGCUAUUGUAAAAAGUUAGGUCACGUCAAAGCAGAUUGUUAUAAACUGCGAAAUAAAAGAGCUGCUGAGAGUAACGAGGAAGAUGUAGCUGGUGCUAAUUUGGCCGAUGAAAGUGGUGAUGAUUUCUUGUUAGUGUCAACAUGCGAUAACUCCAAACUCACGUCCAAGUGGAUCCUAGAUUCGGGAUGUUCUUUCCACAUGUAUCCCAAUAAAAAAUGGUUCUCUACAUACAGUUCGGUUGAAGGUGGAUUUGUGUGCAUGGGAAACGAUUCAUCUAGUAAGGUAGUUGGUAUUGGAACUGUUAAAAUCAGGACACAUGAAGGGACAAUUAGGACACUCUCAGAUGUCAGGUAUGUACCUGAUUUACGAAAGAAUCUCAUCUCCUUGCUUAUUUUAGACUUGAAAGGAUGCAAAAUCAACAUCGAUUCGAGCGGUAUUAAAGUAUCUCGUGGAGCUUUCGUUUUGUUAAAAGGUAAAAGAACUGAUAGUCUUUAUAUUCUGGAAGGUUCUACAGUGACUGGUGAAAUCGGACAUCCUUCAUCCGUUAUAAAGUCGAAGUCAACUCGUUUGGAGCGGAGGCAACUUGGUCAUAAGAGGGAAAAUGUAUGACUGUUUCGUUGAAGAGAGGUUCUCUUUUGGAUGCAGGUUUUGAAAAGUUAAGGCACUAUGUUCGUGAAAAUCAGACCCGAUUAGUUUUGAUUUGGCAGUGUACAAGUCAAAGGCUAGAAGUCUUCUAGUUUCUAAGUACAGAUUCGACUUAGUUAAUUCCCUGCAUAGUUCAAGAUAGGCUCGUGGCGGGCUUUGGCAAAGAUGGCGUUGUGGAAAUGUGAGUCAAGGUGGAGAUUUGUUAAGUGUGACUCCUAUUUUAAGUCAAAUUUGAAAAAUAAUCUUUUAGUUAAACUCUGUUUAUUUAUUUCAGUCAAACACUGAUUAGUUUAGAUUAUUUUUUUUAUUAUUUGACAUAUGAAUUUAGCCUAUAAAUAGACUCUUUUACAACCUUAGAAAUAACACCCAUUAGAGAUUAGAACUCAUAACACAAUUAGAGAAUUUUGUGUUUACGUUUUGAGAGUUCUUUGUUUUCGGGUUUUUAGGGUUUAGUUUUAUCUGCAUAUUUUGUACUCUUCGUUCUUUUGCCGUUAUAAUAAAAUUAUAUUUGUCCGUGAUUUUUUAUCCUCUUUAGAGGAGUUUUUUCACGUUAAAUUUGUGUGUUUAAUUUCUCAAUUUAUUCCACUAUUUUUAUUAUUUGUUGCUUAAUCACUCUUUUUUAACAGAGAGCUUAUCUCUUAGCAAUAGUUUGGGCAAACAAAAAUAAUGUAUAUAUGAAAACGAAUAUUGAAUUUGAAUGUACAAUCAAUUUUUUGAACAAUUAAUUAAAAAGAAUGUUUGAAUUCAAAAAUUUUAAAAAUUUUGAUAAAAAAUGUGGAAGCGCAGACUUGUGUGAUGAAUAGUAAUGAUAAUAAUGAUAGAAGUUGUUUUCCUGGCACAAGCAACUUAUGGGAUUCGUCCAUUUGGUUCUAUAUUUCUCCGCUGCCUUGAGUGUUUAAGAGUUAAACGAUAAAUUAUUAAGUAGAAAACACCAAACGAAUUGAAUUAUUUUCUUAAGAUGGUGUCGGUAAUGUAUCUGUAGAUACCCAUUUGAAUUUUUAGAAAACUGAAAAAAUAAUUUAUUUUUUCGAUUGAAUCAGCAGCAAGAAAAUAAGAAAAAAGACAACUUUGAGUUUGAGUUUGCAGCUCUGAGAUUUCGUUCGGUGAUUUGAACGGUGAGGUGAUAUGUUUAAAUGCGGGAAAUAAUAUAUAUCGGACUAGCAACAAUAUGAUGGAGUGAAAUAGAGAUUGAAGAAAGAGUAAUUUGAAGCUUUGGUCAUUAUAUUAAAGGAUUUCGAGCCGAUUUUUAGGAAAUCUAAAUCGUAGAAGUGAACAAAUAUUCUUCUUUUGUGCCACAAUCGACACAAAAGGCUAUUGUGAAUGGCAACAUUGACAAUUAUUGAGUACGGUGGCUAAAAUUUUUAAUUAAAAAAAGGAAAUAAAUAAAAUAAAGGAAAUGAAAACAAAAAGAAAAAUGUGAAAAGAAAGAAAGAAAUAAUAAUAAUAAUAAUAAUAACAACGUGAACUAUCUUAAGGUUCUCUUGUCAUAACUUGAAAUUGGUGUCAUUUAAUAUAAGAAUACAAUUAAUACAUGCAGUAAUGUCAAGGUAGAAUUGUAGUUGUAUCAAACAAAAUAAUCUCACUAAAAUAAUAAUUAAUUCGAAUAAAGGUAAACCCUAAGUUACUAAUCACUCCAUUUAUAUUUCAUCUUUGGAUAAAUAUAUUAAUUUGUAAAUGACAUCUUUGUGUAGUAAUUAAAUACUGACAAUAAGUAUCGCAUGUUUAUUACAACAGUUGCAAAUGAAAUUUUGUUAAAUAUUAGCCUCCAUUUAGGCCCAUCAAUAUUAACAUAACUUAAGUUAUAUGCAUAAAACCCCAAAAGUAUAAAAAUUUUAUUGUUAUUUAAAUAUAUUUUUAAAUUUUUAAAUACUUUUUGUUUAAAUUUUAUAAUUUUUUAAAUAGUGAACCCGUCGGAUCAAAGAUCAUAUUGAUUAAAUUCAAUCAAAUCAAGAAUUGAUUAUUUCACCAAUUCACUGGCCCAAUUUACAAGAUUAUGUAUUAUGUAUUAUUAUUAUUAUUAUUAUUAUUAUUACGUGUCACUCAUCAUUUGAUUAUGAGAAGAUAAGAAAGAUGAAAACAAAGUGGACCUAAUAAUUAACCUCACAUGUGAAAUGUGUUAUUGAUGCAUCGUUGAGAGCACCAAAAAUAUCCUAUCCCUAUAAAAUAACGAAAAGAAUAGUAAAAGAGAAUUAGGGCCAAAUCUUCAGACUGGAUUUGCACAACUUCUUGUUCCUCGAGAUCCCGGGCAUAGUCGUGCCCAAGAAAAAUGGCGUACCUGAAAAAAAUAAAAAAAAUAGAAUUAAAAAUAUGGACGAAUUGAGAUUGUGUAACUUGAAAUUGAAAUUGUAAAAAUAAACAGAGUCGUCAAAACAGAUUCUUGGAUUGAGAGAUUCUAGCCUCUAGUUAUCUCGAUCCUCAUUGGUUCAAUCCUAGGCUUUUAGGUGAUCCUUCUCGAACAGAAUAAGCUAGUUAUAGUAGAAGAGGACACCUACGACUACCAACUCUACUUAGAUUUUAGACUUACGAUUUAGAGGAACCUAACUCAAGCCAACCGUCACUUUUGUUGGACCGUCUUAAACUAGAUCAUCAUUUCUCAAUGGCAAAUACCAUGUCAUUUUGUCUAUUGGGCUUAACAACCACUGACACAGUAAGCUAACGAACCGACUGUGUCACCUUCCCAAAACAUACAAAACGGUCGCCUUUGCACAAGAUGAAAAGACUUUUGGAAGGACAUAGACAAAAGCGUUAGUCCCGUAAUGCGGAGAAACGAUGAAUUAAGCAUCAGUCCCGUAAUGCGGAGAAACGAUGAAUACUCGUUGAGAAAGCUAAGUGCAGAUUUUAUGCCUCAUGAACCUUUUUUGAGGAAUCAUGACAACCUUUAGCUAGAUGAGUUUAGUGGCUCAUGCUUUUCGGGAAAAAAAAAAAGAAAUAAGUUUACUAAAAUGGAAUUUUAUUGAAUAAAUAAAAAGGAACAAAAAGCUAAGAGCUUUAGAGAGAGGGAGUUUUUACAGAAAAGAUUAGUGCAAUUUGUGUCACGCCGUCCCCUAUUUAUAUUACUUAGAAAACCUAGUUUUUUCCUAUUUAAAUUCUAAAAGAUAAAUAAAGAUAAAAGCUGAAAUUAAAUCUAAAUAAUAAUCUUAACAAUAAUCCUAAUAGAAUUCAAUUUAAAUAGAGUCUUGUGUUUAUAAAAUCUCUUAUUUGAAUUGUUGCCCCCAAGUCUUCCACACUUUGUAUUUUUGGCACCAUUUCUUUCCUAUUUUGCAUUUUGACCCAUUUUGUUUCAAAUUCACACUUUUUGCCCCCAAAUUUCCUUUUGGCUUCAAUUUAAUCCCUACCAGAUAAAAACCCAUAAAUAGCUCAAAUUAGUAGGAUUAUAUUCAAAAUAAGUAUGUAAUUAAUACAUAAAAAUAUGUUAUUCCAGAGUAUUAUCAAAUUCCCCCUACUUAGCCCAUGCUUGUCCUUAAGAAUAGUUCCUAUCUACUGUGAAAUUUAGAUUUUACCAUGAAAGAAAUAUUACUCCAAAGUUUUAUAAAAAUUAGGCAUAAUGCAUAUGAAAAAUAAAGAGAACCUUUAGCUUGCUUUAAGUAAAACUGGAAAAGUAUUCCAAUUUAAACAUGCAAAAAUCAAAACCGACUUGGAUCAUUUCAUGAAAAUUAGGUAAUUUACUAAACUUACCAAGACACCCUAUUUGUUUCCACCCUUAGUCCCCAAAUGCAAUUCAUUAUUAUUACUUAUUUUUCUUUUUUUUAAUAAAAUGUUGAACCUUUUGACGCAAAGACAGAUGACAACCAAGCAGCCCACCCUGGUUAUUCAGCCCAACACAUUCCUAAAAAUUUUUUGUUUAAUUCCGAUUAGCAGAGUUUGUAAUACCCCGAAAAUUACUACAGUAAUAAAUUAAGAUAAUAUUCUUGACAUAGUAAAAUAAGGAAAUAAAGUGAUAAAAGGGUAAUUUUGAGUUAUGUCAACAUUGGGAAGUAUGUUAUGACAUAUUAAUUCAAGAAAGGAUUAAAUUGUAAAAGUGAGAAAAAUUUUAUUACCCAAGAGUAAAUACUCAAAAUUUGAGGGGUUAAAAUGUAAAUAUGAAAAAUUUGAAAGACCAAUAGUGUAAAUAUUUUAAGGGUGGAAUAAUCUAGAAACUAAGAAAAAUGGAUGAAUUGGGACCAAAUUGAAUAGGUGAAGAAUUAUGAGGGACUAAAUCAUAAUUUUACCAAAUUAAGUGAUGACUCAAGGAUGGAAUUUUAAAAGAUCUAAAAGGCAAAAUGGUCAAUUACAAGAAAGAAAAAUCUAGAAAAUAAUGAUGAUGUUGGAGAUAUUUUAGAUUAAAUAAAUAAAUAAAUAUUAGUUUAUUAAUAUUUUAAUUUAAUUUUUAAAUGAGAUUUUAUUAUUUUAUUAUUAUUUUAUUAUUAUUUUAUUUAAUAUAUAUAUGGAAGGAAAGAUGAAGAAUUUUCAUCUUCUUCCUAUGCAACUAAUGUAUGAAGAGAAAAGAAAGGAAGAAACUUUCAUUUCUUUACAAUUUGACCCUUUCACCAAAUACUCACCAUUUUCACUUAGAAAUCAAAAGAAUUUCCAUGUCCAUCAAGAGAGAAAGAUAACAAGGAGACUAUGGGGAGUUAUAAAAUCAAGUUAGGUUCAAGAAAUAGAAGCUGGAGGAGAGAAAAAAUCAAGUUAAAGGUUGCAACUAAUAGGACAAGGUAAGAACAUCAAGAUUAAUUCAAUAUAUUUUUAAGUUUGUUAUCAUUGAAAAAGCAUGGAAAUGAUGUUAUAGUAGAGUUUUCUUAAAUAAAGUCUUAUGUUCUUGAUAUAUUAGUGAAGGGAAAUAAGAGAAAGUGAUGGAAAAUAUUAUAGAGAAAAUGAAUAAGGAAGUUAUAAACUUAGUAAUCAAUAUCAUGCAUUAAAACAGUUUUGGACAGCAGCAGUAGUCUAACUUUGAAAAAUCACCAAAAAUUGUGGGAAUCGAAUUAGAGGAUGUAAAAUAUGAAUUUAAAUAUUAUUGAGUCUAGUUUAUCAUAGAAGAAAUGGUGUAAGCAAUGGAAGUAUAAAUCAUGAGAUAUAAUAGGUUUUGUGAGACAAGGUCAGAAUGAUUUCGGGUUCCGCUGUUCUAACUUUGGAAAAUCAUAAAAAAUUGGAUAAAACUAAUUAGGGGUUUAAAUUUAUAUGUUUAAAAUCCUUAAUUAGUAUAUUUUCAAGAUAAAUAAACUAGGACAUCAUUAAAAUUCUGUACAAUGAGAUAAUUAAUUUUUAGUGAAGAGAGUUUGGAACAGUCAAACAGUGAAAUAGGGGAAAAUUUAAAGAAUAAACUGUACUUAUUGGUUGAACCAAAAGUUCUGAAAUUUUUAUGGUAAGAAUAUAUGUGAGUCUAGUUUCAAGUAAAAUUAACGGAUCUUAAUUUGGAGCUCUGUAGCUCAAGAUAUAAAUAAUUUUGUGACUAUGACUCAAGUGGACAGCUUUGAAUGAACAAAUAAAUAAAUAGUGAAAUUAUAGAUAAUGUUACAUAUAAGCAUGUUAUAUACAUUAAGAAUGUGGAAUGGAGAGGUGGAGGAGGAAAAAUAUAUGAUUAUUCAACUAGCAUGAGUUUUCAUUAAAAAUGGCCAAUUUGCAUGUUUUAGGUUCAAGGAUUAAAUUGAAUAAAAGUAAUAUUUUAAGGGUAAAUUGGUAAAAAUGUCAAAAAGUGACCAAAUUUCAUGAAUGAAUUGUUUUAUUAUUUAAAUUAGUAAAUUUAAUGAAAUAUUAAUUUACAUCAAGAUUGGGUGGAAAUUUGAGAAAAAUAGAAAAUUUUUAAAAUGUCCCUGAAUUUUGGUUUUUCUACAAUUUAGCCUGGUAAGUUUGUGUGAACUGUAUUCUGUAUAAUUUUAAUUGAAGUGAAUUCUAUUUGGUAAUGAAUAUUAUAUAUGUGUGUGUUUUAUUAUUGGAAUGGAAUUAUUAUUGGUAAUAUGUAUAUUUGAUGCAUUGAAAUGAUUAUCGGACGCUCAAUUGAGUUGGAAGCUUGUUGGAGAUAUAUCAUAUUAUCCAUUGGUUCUAUCGAUAAUUUUGGAUGAUUUGAUUCGGUUAUAAUGGCAUGUAGAAGUUAAAUUGGUUAACGUUAGCUCAUUAAUGUUUUAAUUUUGAUUGGUUAUAAAUACGAAUGUUUGAUGAAAUGAAAUGUUUGUAAAUUAAUUUGUAAACUCCAAUAAUGCUCUAUAACCCUAUUCUGGAGAUGGAUACGGGUUAGGGGUGUUACAGAGUUUUACCUAACACGUUACACAACCUUUUGACGCGAAAUAGGAUGACAACCCAAGCACCCUACCCUGAUUACUCAGUCAGUCACGUUUUAAGCUACACUCAUAACCAUGGAGGCAUAAAAAAAUUUUAUUGUAAUGAAAUAAAAUUUUAAUUUUGGAGGACUAGGAAAAACAAUCAAGUGUCAAAAAUAAGUUUUGGCAACUCCCUAACAGUCAUGAACAUAAAUUUAGCAUACAAUUGUAUUAGGUGUCCUCUUUGCAUUUAGACUUAAUCAAUUAAAAGUAAGAUAGGGCUAACUCCAUUAAUCAUAAUUAUUUUAGCCUAAUAGAAAUAAAACGUCAGAGUCGAAGUCAAAAUCGUCGAACACAACUGCUAGUUGGGCCGAAAGAGCUUGUGGCCAUCGACUAGUCCGGUGUCGAGAGGGGUCGAAAGCCGAAGAUGGUGGUGGCGAUGGUAGGUGUGAAGCAAGCGAUGGGGGAAACGGUGGAGGAAAAGAAAGGGCUAACGGUGGUGGUGAAGUCGAGUGGGAAGGUGCGGUGUCACGUGGAGGAGAGGGGGACUGGGAGGGUGCAGCUUCGGCUAAGUUGACGUGUUGGGGUUUCAAAAAUCAAUGUCAGUGGCUGUUGACGGAAAAAGAAGGUUUGACAAUGGCACGACUUCUAGUCCUAACCAUGGUGGUGGGAAAAAAUCGAUGGUGGGGGUAAGGGAGAAAGCUAACGGCGGCUGGAGGGGUGCUUGGGUGAAAAUAGGGAAAAAUUUAGGGUUUGAAGGUGUAGAAUGAAAGGUGUUUGGUUGUAAAAUGGGUGUUUGGACGUAGGUUUUGGGUAAGUUUAAAGUAAGGUGUUUGGUUGUAGUUGCUUUAUGCAGCAUCUAGGGUUUUUGAGGCAUAACAAAUGACAUGGGGCUCUCUGUCUAUCUUUUGUCCCAACACGGCCCCCACAUUGUUCUCGCUUACAUCGCACAUAAUUUAAAAUGGGUAGUUCUAAUGUGAUGCUUGUACUAUAGGAGCGGAAACCAACUUCUAUUUGAACGUGUCAAAAGCCUUCUUACAUUUUGGGCUGAACUCAAAUUUCUUAUCUUUCUGCAAUAAUUCGUAUAGUGGUUCAACUACCUUUGAGAAGUUCUUUAUAAAGCGCCUGUAAAAUCUUACAUGGCCAAUGAAAAAACAUAUUUCCCUUACAGUUGAGAGAUAUGGCAAAGAAUUUAUAAUGUCAGUUUUGGUCUUAUCAACCUCAAUCCCUUUAGCUGAAACUAUAUGUCCUAGAAUUAAACAUUUAUCUACCAUAAAAUGACACUUUUCAUAAUUCAAGACAAGAUUAAAUUCUAUGCAUCUACUUAAAAUUAUCGUGAGGUUUUUAAGGCAUUCAUCAAAACAGUUCCCAUAUACAAUAAAAUCAUCCAUAAAAACUUCGAUGAUGUUUUCUACAUACUCAGAAAAUAUACUCAUCAUACAUCUUUGGAAGGUGGCUAGUGCGUUGCAAAGUCCGAAUGGUAUCCUUCUAUACACAAAUGUGUCGAAUGGGCAUGUAAAAGUGGUUUUUUCUUGGUGGAAGAAACCUGAGUAUCCAUUAAGACAGUAAAAGUAAGUUUUACUAGCUAAAUGCUCAAGCAUUUGAUCUAUAAAAGGAAGAGGGAAAUGGUCUUUUCUAGUAUAAGAAUUCAACUUCCUAUAAUCAAUGCAGACAUGCCACCCAUUUUGCACUUGGGUUGGUACCAGGUCGCCCUCAUCAUUUUUCUUUACUGUCAUGCCUGUUUUCUUAGGCAUGACCUGCACCGGACUUACCCAUCUACUGUCAAUAAUGGGGUAUAUUACGUCAGCAUCUAGAAGCUUAAUUAUUUCAUUUUUACCACAUCCAUCAUAUUCGGGUUCAACCAUCUUUGCACCUUCGCUUUGGUUUCAUGUUUUCCUCCAAGUAGAUCUUCUGUGUGCAUGUCAAAAGGCUUAUCCCUUUUAAGUCAGCAAUGGUCGAGCCAAUCAUCUCUUUAUGGUUUUUUAGUACCUAUAUCAAACUUUCCUCUUCAAGCUUAGAGAGUCUAUAAAAUAACCUAUCCCUAUAAAAUAACGAAAUGAAUAGUACAAGGGAAGUAGGGUCAAAUCCUUAAGGGCUAGAUUUACACAACUUCUUGUUCCUCGAGAUCUCGGGCACAGUCAUACCCAAGAAAAACGGCAUACCUGAAAAAAUAAAAAAAAUAGAAUUAAAAAUAUGGACGAAUUGAGAUUAUAUAAAUUGAAAUUGAAAUUGUAAAAAUAAAUAGAAUUGAAAAAAGGGAUUCUUCGAUUUAAGAGAUUUUAGCCUCCGGUUGUCCCGAUCCUCCUUGGGUUCAAUCCUAGGCUUUUAGGUGAUCCUUCUCAUAACAGAAUAAGUCAGAUAUAGUGGAAGAGGACGCCUACAACCACCAGUUCUACUUAGAUUUUAGACUUGUGUUUAAAUAGAGUCUUGUGUUUAUAAAAUCUCUUCUUUGAACUUUUGCCCCCAAGUCUUCCACACUUUUUAUUUUUGACACCACUUAUUUCCUAUUUCGCAUGUUGGCCCAUUUUGCUUCAAAUUCACGCUUUUUGGCCCCAAAUUUCCUUUUGCCUUCAAUUUAAUCCCUACGAGAUAAAAAACCAUAAACAACUCAAAUUAGUAGGAUCAUACUCAAAAUAAAUAUGUAAUUAAUACAUAAAAAUAUGUUAUUCCAGCAUUUUCAGUUAUAUAUAAGGGUUAAAUCAUAAUUUAGUCCCUAAAGUUGUACCAAAUAAUUUGUUUAGUACUUAAAGAUUGUAUUGCAUCAAUUUGGUACCUGAAGUUCGAAAAUGUUUAUACCCAUUACUCCAAAGCCUAAUUCCAUUAAAAAAAACUAUUUUUUCGAAAUAAAUUCAAAAAUAAAAAUAGAGAAAUAACAAAAAAGUCUCAAUUUAAAAAAAAUUGAAAAAACUUAAAAUUUAUAAAGAAAGUCAGAAAAUAUGAAAAUAUAAUUUUUAAAAAAUACAUAAAAUAAAAAUUAGCGAAAAUUCAAAAAGAAAAACAAAAUUAAAAAUUUAGAAAAACACUGAAAUAAUAUAGAAAUAUAAAUGCCUACAGUACCUAUUAUUAACGUUGAAUUUUCUAACUUUUUCCUAAAAAAUUGCUUUUAGAUUUUAUUUUUUAAAAAUACAUUUUUUUAAUAAUUUGAGUCUCAUGGCUAUAAAGUUCUUUUAACUUAGCAAUAUGUCAUAUUUUAUGUUUCUAAAAAUAUUGUAGUCUCCAAAGGUGUAGUCUCGACCAAAAAAACAAACAAGAAUUUGAUUUUUUUUUCCACUAAGUCUUCAGAAUUUGUGAUUACCGUUUUUAAUAGUAAUGUUGUCACUAAAAUUCUAUUCUGUAUCUACCUUAUUUUACUAUUGCACUUCAUACUUAUUGAUGAUUUAAUUUUAUUAUUAAUAAUUAAUUAUGAUAUAUAUUAUAUUUAAGAUGGAUUUUCUUAUUCAUGGAUAUCAAUUAAAUAAAAUAUUUGCAUUUAAAAUUAAAACUAUGACAUUAAUUUUUUUUUAAUUUAAAUCAAUUUGGCUCUUUUAACAUAGGGAAGUCGAAUUGCAUAAACAAUCAAUGUAUUACCUAUUUUAUUCAUGUUUACCACCGUGCUUAAAGAAAUGCUCACUUUUUUAGGGUGUGCUUACCAUUGAGAUUGGAAAACAUCAUUCAACCCAAACAAUGAUUUCAAACCAAACAUUAAUUUUAAACUAGGAUUUUAAGCCAAUCCAAAACUUUUACCUUUUACCUUUUGAAAAAGUACUUUUCAAUUAAAAAUCUUUUUAUUCCUCAUUAAAUCUUCUAUUUUAUAACAUUACGUCUAAAAUAAAUAUUUUAUUUUUCUAAAAUUAUUUAUAGACAACAAUAAUAAACACUAUUAAUUUUUCUAAAAGCACUUUUUCACUGUAAUAUUAAACUUAAAUGAUAAACUUGCCUUUUAACCACUCUUUUCUAACAUAUAGCAUAUCUCUUAGCAACGAUUUGGGACAACAAAAUUAAUGUAUAUAUGAAAACGAAUAUUGAAUUUGGAUGUCCAAUCAAUUUUUUGAAUAAUUAAUUAAAAAUAAUUUUUUAAUUCAAAAAAUCUAAAAGAAUUUGAUAAAAAAAAUGUGGAAGGGCACACUUGUAUGAUGAAUAGUAAAGAUAAUAAUGAUAGAAGUUGUUUUCCUGGCACAAGGAACUUAUGGGAUUCGUCCAUUUGGUUCUAUAUUUCUCCACUUGCUUGAGUGUUUAAGAGUUAAAGGACAAACUAUUAUGUAUAAACACCAAACGAAUUGGAAGGCUUUUGUCUUCUUCAAAUUUUACAUUCAAUAUCAUCAUCACAAUCAUGGUAAUUUACUUUCAUGAAUAAACUUUUAUGUCCCAUUUUAACCUGAAUUAUUAAAAAUUAUUAAGUCAAUUAUAUUUUUAAGAUGGUGUCGUUGUCCAGCGACAUUGAUUUAAAUUUUUUAAAAAAUUAUUUUAAAAAAUGAAAAAAAUUUACUUUUUUGAUUGAUUCAGCAGCAAGAAAAAAAAAAGAAAACUUUUCGGAUUCAAAACUCUAAAAAUCUGUUCAUGAUCUGAACGGUGAGGUGAUGUAUUUAACUGUGAAGAAUAAUUUAUAUUCGACUAGUGACAAUCUGAUAGAGUAAAACAGAGAUUAAAGAAAAAGUAGUUUGAAAUCUUGAUCAUUGUUUUAAAGGAUUUGAAGUAGAAUUCUACAAAAUUUAAAUUGUAGAAGUGAAUGAGGAGAAAAAGCCCCUGUGAAUGGCAACAUAGAUGGUUAUUUAGUAUGGUCGUUAAAAUUUUCAUUUAAAGAAAAAGGAAAUAAAUAAAAUAAAAUGAUAGGAAAACAAAAAUAAAAACGUGAAAAGAAAUAAAGAAAGAAUAAUAAUAAUAAUAAUAAUAAUAAUAAUAAUAAUAAUAAUAAUAAGAGAAUUUUGGGGGCGAUGCCUUUGUACAAAUCUGCAACUACACGUGAAGUGGAAUAAAAAGUUGAGCAUGUCGCUCAGCCUUGCGCUUUCGAGGCGCUCCAUUCAUCACGAAUGGGGCCAGAUUUCUCAAUGAGUGAAAGUGGUACUAAUAAUUUACCUCACAUUUGAAAUGUGUUAUAAAUAUAUAUGUGGAUGAAAUUUUUGCUACCAUGCUAAAAUUGAAGAUUUUAAUUUUGGUGGAUUUUAAGUUUUUAUAUAUUUUAAAAUUUAAAAUUUUAAUCUUAAUUUAAAUGAUAAUCGUUAAAUUUGUUGGGUCAAAUUUUGUUAUUAGUCAAUUACUAUGCAUAAUUAUGAACUUAAUUCAUGUAUUUCAAUUUGAUCACUUUCAGUCAUUAUAUUUUUCAGUUUUGGAAUUCUGGUACUACUUAAAUGGUAACUAUUAAAUCCAUUUACUAUAAUGAUAUAAGAUUUUUGUGAGUAUUAUGUAAAAUAGCUACUUAUCACAUUUUUAAUGUAUAUAUUUAUUAUAUUGUAUAUACCAUUUCAACUAAAUUCAUUUAAUUUUUAUAAAUUUAUUAUAUAAAUUUAAGUACAAAUAUGUGUCAUUCUCUAAUAACAAUAAUAAUAAUAAGUGGAUGACAUAAGAUGUGUCAAAACAUUUAUCUUCAAUUCUGAUGCAGAAAGGCAGGCGGUCAUUUUUAGUAAAAAUACAUAAAUAUAUCACUAAAUUAUUAGUAGCAUUCUGUUUUCCUUACUAAAUGAUAAUACUCUACUAAAAUAAACUUAACUAUUGUAAUAAAAUAUUUUUAUAUAAUAAAAAAAGAAAUUAUAGAAAAGACUUAUUGGAUAUAUUUCCAAUUUUCGACAUUCAUAAAAUAAAAAAUAAAAAUUAUUUAUACAAAAUCAAAAAAUGGUCCUAUUAAUUUACCUCACAUUUGAAAUGUGUUAUAUGUAAUAAUAUUAAUAUCUUUAUCAAUUUUGGACUUUCACCUUUCCCAUCUCUAUAAAUUUGCAUGCAGAACUAAAGCAACACAUAUCAACACAAUCGGUAUAACCAUGAAAACCACAACAGCUUCGGUGUUUCUUCUUUUCAUCAUCUUCUCGAUCACACCAUCGUCCUUUUCGUUUGGUGUGGCCAACACUACAAACGCUCCUGUGCUCGACAGUGAUGGCAACGAGCUCCGCACUGGCACCCCAUACUUCGUUGUGUCGUCGAUAUGGGGUGCUGGUGGUGGGGGGCUUGACCCAGGCAGGCCUAGAGGAAAGCCAUGCCCGGAAGUCGUUGCUCAAAGAGGAUCUGGUGACAAUGGUAUUCCGGUGAUAUUUUCUAAUUCGGACUCCAAAGAUGGCGUUGUUCGCCUAUCCUCUGACAUAAACAUAGCGUUCGUUCCCCUCAGACCCAAAUUUUGCGAAACAACAACGGUGUGGAAGGUCGCUGAUUACGACCACUCAGCCGGAAAAUGGUGGGUGAUAACCGAUGGGGUUAAAGGGAACCCAGGUGCCAACACUUUGACCAGUUGGUUUAGAAUAGAGAAGACGACUACUGAUUUUGAUUACACAUUUAAGUACUGCCCCGCAGUAUGUGGAACAUGCCCAGCCUUAUGCAACAAAAUUGUGAGAGACUUUGAUGGAGAAAUGGUACGUUUGGCUCUCACCACUGGCCAUGGAUGGCCAUUUAUCUUUAAGAAAGUUGGAAAAUCAGCCAUGGAGAUUGAACAAGUUGUUCAUAAUUAGAUUGAAAGCAAUCAUUAUGCAUGAACUAGUAGUUACUACAUAAUAUUAGCUUCAAGUAAAUAAUGCUGAGGGAACUUAUUGUUAAGAUUGCCUUGUUUGAAGCGGCAGCAUGUAUAUAUAUAUGCUUGCUUACAAGGUUUGUCUCUCAGAGUCCUCCUCUUUGUACUCUUUUCAGCUUAAUGAAUAAACUGUUUACUUAUUUACUUCUUUUGUUGCCAUUGAUUCUAGUAGCAUUCGACUCAUUAACUUGGAUACAUUACCUUGUAAUUAACCAAAAAGUUAUGUGUAUAUAUAUAAAGAGUGUGUGAGAGAAAAAAUAAAAUACCAAGUACCAAGUGAAAAAUGUUAAUACUAGGAUUAUUCAAAGCGAUUUCAAUGAACAGAAAUGGAAUAGUCGUCGGGUGGUUAGGACAUUUUAUCUUUAGAGAUAAAGAAGGUUGGUUCAUGUUCGGAGUUUGUGGCCACUCCUUCAAUAAUAUCGUUUUUAAAGUUUAAACUUGUAUCACAUUUUAAACACGUAAUGUAUCUUACCAUUACAUCCAACAAUAUUAACCAUUUACUCUAUUGUAUUGUAUUGUAUUCUAUUAUUAAUUAAUGAUUAUGAUAUGUAUUAAGUUUAAGAUGAAUUUUCUCAGUAAUGUAUAUCAAUGAAAUCAAAUAUUUGUAUUUAAAGUUUUAACUCCACAUUAACUUUUUUUUUAUUUUGUCCGUUUGCUGGCGAUGAUUAGGAGAUUAAUGGUUGGUAUUUGUGGUUAGUAGCUUAUAACUCGAGGGUUGAUAGUGGCCCGACUCCACUUAAAUAAAAAAUUUUACAUUUAAAUUUCUUUAUAAUUUAUAAAAUUUUAAAUUAAUAAUAAAAAAUUAUAUUUUAACUCUCUAAAAUUAAUAAAAAUGAUAAAAAUGUAGAAGUAAAUUUAUACAAUUAAUGAUAAUAAUGAUAAGAAGUUGUUUCCUAUCACAUGGAAAUUUAUGGCAUCGUCCAUUUGGUUUUAUAUUUGUCCAUUUGCUUGGUUAAGAGUUGAAAGACAAACUAUAAUUAAAUAUACAAAACCAAACGAAUUUCAAGGGUUUUCUCUUCAAUUAUUGUCGAAUUUAGCUAAUUAUUAGUAAUUUUUAUUAUUUAAUUAUAAAAAUUAUAAAAUAGUGACUUAAUUAUAAAUAUAUAUAUAUAUAUAAAAUAGCCAUCUAAUUAUUUAAUUUUUUUCUUUUUUAUCAUCACAGGAUUAAUGGUGGUAAUUUUUAUAAUUGACAUAAUAGUAACUUUAACCAUUAAUAAUUAUACAUUAUGUCAAUUUAGUCUUGAUUCUAAAAAAUUUAACCUUUGACAUUUACACAUAUAUAAUUUGAUAUUUUUAUAAUUUUAUUUUUUACUAAAAAUAAAUCAUGAAAAUAAUAAAAUAUGCAUAAAAAUAAAAAUACAGCUACCGAGUAUAUGUCUUAUUGUAGAUUUAUAACAAUUAUCUUUUCAUAAAGAUAUUUUAUUAUAAAAUAUAUAAUAAGCACUUCCCUGUAACAAAUAAAAUUGUAGUAAACAAAUGAAAUUAUUAUAAAGAAGAAUUUUCUAUUUUCAUAAUAAUAAUAAUAAUAAUAAAAGAAAAGAAAAAAGUGGUUCUAUUAAUUCACCUCACAUUUGAAAUAUGUUAUAUGUAAUAAUAUUAAUGUCUUUAUCAAUUUUGGUGGUUCAUCCUUUCCCAUCUCUAUAAAUUUGCAUGCAGAACUAAAGCAACACAUAUCAACACAAUCUGUAUAACCAUGAAAACCACAACAGCUUCGGUGUUUCUUCUUUUCAUCAUCUUCUCAAUCACACCAUUGUCCUUUUCGUUUGGUGUGGCCAACACUACAAACGCUCCUGUGCUCGACAGUGAUGGCAACGAGCUCCGCACAGGCACCCCAUACUUCGUUGUGUCGUCGAUAUGGGGUGCUGGUGGUGGGGGGCUUGCCCUAGGCAUGCCUAGAGGAAAGCCAUGCCCGGAAGUCGUUGCUCAAAGAGGAUCCGGUGACGAUGGUAUUCCGGUGAUAUUUUCUAAUUCGGACUCCAACGAUGGCGUUGUUCGCCUAUCCUCUGACAUAAACAUAGAGUUCAUUCCCCUCAGACCCAGAUUUUGCCAAACAACAACGGUGUGGAAGGUCGAUGAUUACGACCACUCAGCCGGAAAAUGGUGGGUGAUAACCGAUGGGGUUAAAGGGAACCCAGGUGCCAACACUUUGACCAGUUGGUUUAGAAUAGAGAAGGCGGGUGAUCUUGAUUACCCAUUUAAGUACUGCCCCGCUGUAUGUGGAACAUGCCCAGCCUUAUGCAACAAAAUUACGAGAGACUCAGAUGGAGAAAUGAUACGUUUGGCUCUCUCCGCUGGCCAUGGAUGGCCAUUUUUCUUUAAGAAAUUUCAAACAUCAGCCAUGGAGAUUGAACAAGUUGUUCAUAAUUAGAUUGAAAGCAAUCAUUAUGCAUGAACUAGUAGUUACUAUACAAUAUUAGCUUCAAGUAAAUAAUGCUGGGAGAACUGAUUGUUAAGAUUGCCUUGUUUGAAGCAGCAGCAUGUAUAUAUAUAUGCUUGCUUACAAGGUUUGUCUCUCAGAGUCCUUCUCUUUGUACUCUUUUCAGCUUAAUAUAUAAACUGUCUACUUAUUUACUUCUUUUAUUGCCAUUGAUUCUAGUAGUAUUAGACUCAUUAACUUGGAUACAUUGUCUUGUAAGAGAUAGCUUAUCUCUUAACAACUGUUUGGGUCAACAAAAUUAAUGUAUAUAUGAAAACGAAUAUUGAAUUUGGAUGUCCAAUCAAUUUUUUUAAUUAAUUAAUUAAAAAGAAUUGUUUUAAUUCAAAAAAUCUAAAAGAAUUUGAUAAAAAAUGUGGAAGGGCACACUUGUAUGAUGAAUAGUAGUGAUAAUAAUGAUAGAAGUCGUUUUCCUAGCACAAGUAUGGGAUUCGUCCAUUUGGUUUUAUAUUUAUCCACUUGCCUGAGUGUUUAAGAGUUAAAAAGGACAAAACUAUUAAGUAGAAAACACCAAACGAAUUGGAAGGCUUUUGUCUUCUUCAAUUAGUAUGACCUAUAUUUCUUAUUAAACUUCGUAUUUUACAUUCAAUAUCAUCAUCGCAAUCAUUUUAAUUUAUUUUCAUGAAUAAACUUUUAUGUCCCAUUUUAAUUGAAUCAUUAAAAAUUAUUAAUUGAAUUUUUUUUAAGUCAAGUGAUACUAAUUUGAUUUUUUUAAAAAAGUUGUUUGAAUUAAUUUGAUUUCGUGUCAUAAUUGACAUAAAUGGCCAUUGUGAAUGGCAACAUCAAUAGUUAUUGAGUACAGCGGCUAAAAUUUUCAGUUAAAAAAAAAAGAAUGAAAGGAAAACAAAAAGAAAAACGUGGAAAGAAAGAAAGAAAGAAAGAAUAAUAAUAAUAAUAAUAAUAAUAAAUAAAAUAGAAUUGUGGGGGCGAUGCUUUUGAACAAAUCUUGAUUUAAACUAUAUAAAGAAAAUAUGUGUUAUAUAUAUAAUUAAUUAUGUACUUAUACUUAAUAUAUUAUAUAUCUAAUGUCAUAUUUUCAUAUUCUCAGGAAGUGGUGACAUACAAAUACUUGAUUCGAUUUAUUUCUUUAGCUCCCCGUGAAUUGUAUGUUUGUAACAUUAGGGAUAGAAUUUCUUCAAUUAUCCAAUUGACUGGACGUAUUGUGUCGAUUUUUUUUUAGUAAUAUACCUAGAAAUACCCGUUGAUUCUUUAUAAACGCUGUUUCGAACACAACUGGUACACUCUAAAAUAAUUUACUUGAACAUCAUUACUCUUAGCCAUGAACCUCCUUUGAGUUUUUAAUUCACCCAACUUUUUUAUUUUCCGAUCAAAAGCAAAGAAGAAAGGAAUGAAAAGAAAAGAAAGAAAUCAAAGUUGCUAACUCAAAACCAAAUCCUGAAAAUUUUCAUUUCAAUGAAUAUAGUAAGUAAAUAUAGAUUUAUAGUAAUAGCAAAUAAUAAGAAUUAAGUAAUAUAACGAUUUUUAAUUCUAUUUAGAAUCAAUUAAAAUAUUCAAAUAAAUAUUCAAUUAAAAUAAAUUAAACUGUAUAAAUUUUAUAAUUUUAAAUUAUUAUUUUUGUAUUAAUUUAAAAACAAAAUAAAUAUUAUAUACAAUGAUUUAGUUACAGCGUGUCAGCUUGAAGUCUAAGACUUUAUAACAUAUAAAUUUAAUAGAUAAUUAAUAACUAAAAAAUUAAAUAGCAAAAGCAUAAUUGCGCCACUUCUCACCAUUUUAAUGUAUGCAACUUAUUAUAUAUUUAUAUAUAUUAUCAUUUUAUUUUAAAUAAUUUAAUUUUAUAAAUUUAGGGAUAAAUCUCAAAAUUAUACAUGAACUUUAAUUUAAUAUGCAAUUGUAUAUAUAAACUUUAAUUUGGUACAAUUAUACACGUGAUACUUUAAUUGUGGUUUAAAUACUCACUUGAAACUUUAGUUUUGAUUUAAUAAUGCAUAUUUAAAUAAAUAAAUACAUCAAUUUUUUUAUAUUGGGUAAAUAUAAUUAUUUAUGUAUGCAAUAUAUAACAUAAAAUGAUGUUAUAUCAAUAAUUGUGUUAAUAAUUUUCAAGAAUUGGAUCAAAUCAAAAUUUCAUGUAUAAAAUUGAACAAAAUCAAAGUUAAUGUAUACAAUUGCACAUUAAACCAUAAUUCAUGUAUAUUUUUUUGUAUAUAUCCCAUAAAUUUAUUUCAUUAACUUUUUACCUAUAUCAUAUAUAGAGUUGUUCGUGAACCGAGCCAAGGAAUGCCUGCUCGAAAAAAUGAGAGGGUUUGGCAAAAAAAUAUAUGCCUAAAAAAUGGGCUUGGAUAAAAAGACAAGGCCCGUUUAGAAAAUGAACCGGCAUUGAGUAGGGUUUUUUUGUCCGGGCUCAGCCUAACCCGAAUUUUCAAUUAAAAAAAACCUUGUUGUUUUUGCUGCUAUUUUUCCAUAUCUUGGUGUUGUUUUCUCACUUUUUGCCGCUAUUUUACUACCAUUUCACUAUUAUGUUACUACUAUUUUUUUUAAUGUUUGGAUAUAGUAUAAUAAUUGUUUUAUUGUUAAUUUUAUCACUAUUUUAGAGACAUUUGUUUGUUAUGUUGUACUUAUUUUAGUUUUUAUUUAAGUAUAAAAAAAUUUAAAAUUUAUUUUCAAUUUAUUGAUAAACAUGUAAUUUAAUAUUUUCAGUGUAUUUAUUGUAUUAUAUUUGUUAAAUUUAUAUAAAAUUAAAAUUAAAAAAAUAUGGACCGAGAUGGGAGUUUAACAAAAAUUUAGGCCCAUUUUUCAAGUCGGGCCGAUCUCAAACCUAACAAUCGGACUUAAAAUUUUGUUAGAGCUCGGCCCAUCCCAUGAACAACUCUAAUUAUAUAUAUAUGUCAUUCUCUAAUAAUAAUAAUAAUAAUAAUAAUAAUAAGUGGAUAACAUAAAACUAGUAGUAAAGAGUAAGAAGACAAAGAAGAAUUAAGUGGAUAACAUAAAACGUGCGAAAACAUUUAUCUUCAAUUCUGACACAUAAAGCUAGUAUUUUUGGGUAAAGUAUAGAAAUGGUGAUUAAAUUAUUGUUGAUGUUCUAUUUUAAUUUUUAAUUUUUCUAUUUUAGUUAUUAAAUUAUUUGAAAUUAAAUUUUUUGGUUAUCAAAGGUUAACAGUAGUUUGAAAUUUAACAGAAAUAUUGAUGUGAACUUUUCUUAUUGAUUUAAUAAUAAAUUUAGCCUUCUAAUAUUUAUAUAUUCUAUUAAUUUGAUACUAAAUAUAAAAAUUUAACAAAUUUAACCUUCAAUAUUUACAAAUUUUGUUAUUUUAAUUCAAAUUCUAAAAAAAAUUUAAUAAAUUUAACCCUCAACAUUAAAAAAUUUGAUAAAUUUCAAUUUUUAAAAUUUUGUAAAUUCCUAAAAUAUAAAGCAUCAUUCUCCACCUCAUAGGAUUCCAUGUAAAUGGAUUUUCUUGAAUUCUUUACCAAGUUGUCUUGAGUUUAAUUUCUUCUUAUUUAGUUUGUGGAAUAAAUGGCAUAUAGUUAGAUGUCACUGCAGCUGACAAUGAAAGGUUUGACAAAGUUGAUAAAUUCAGAGCUUUUGAUGCUGAGCUUCAAAUCAGUCUUGCCUCCACUCACCCAAGAAAUCAACUUUACAAUUUUUAUUAAGUCUUAACUAGAUUAAUAUGAGUAUUGUUAUCAAUAUAGGAGAAAGUGAAUUUUAGUGCGUUGAAACACAUUAUCUUCUUAUUGAUGAAUUGAGGAGGGGCUAUGAAUAGUUUUAAAUAUUAUAUUAAAAAAGCAGAGAUAAUUGAAACCUACAAUAAUAUUGUUCAAAAAAAUUACCUAAAAACACGAAAUCUUACUCCCUGAAUUUUCUAGAAACACAAAUAUUUCUCCCUGCCUUUGAUGGUGUAUACAUGCAUGGCCAUGUGUGAGCUCCUGCAUUUUAACUAAUCAACACAGAUAAUACCCUCAAUGAGACAUUAAAAUUAACUUUUAUUUUUGUUUUUUCAUAAAUUUUAUAAUUUUGUAUUUCAAUGAAAAAAUCUAAAUCUAAGUUGAUCCGAGUCCAAAAAAAAAUCUGAAGCUGUAAAAAGUUUGAUCUGAGGCUGCUCAUUUGCCACCUCUAAUAACCAUUUGAUAGAGGUUUAAUAUAAAGGAAUUUAGAUUUUAGGAAUUUAUAAAAUUUUUAAAAUUAAUUUUUUAUUUGUAAAUACUAAGGGAUAAAUCUAUUGAAGUUUUUAAAAUUUGAACUGAAAUGUCAAAAUUUGUAAACAUUGAAGGCUAAAUUUGUUUAUUUUUUCUAUUUAAGACCAAUCUGAUAGAAUGUGUACACAUUAGAAGACUAAAUUUAUUAUUAGACCAAUAAAAAAAUGCCCAACUUAACGCUUUCUCAAAUUUCAAACCGAUGUUAAUAUUCAAUGACCAAAAUUUUUUAUUUCAAAUAGUUUAGUGACCAGAAUAGAAAAAAAAUUAAAAGUUUGAUGACCAAAAUAGAACGCGGAUAAUAAUUUAAUGAUAUUUUUAUACUUUAUCUGUUUUUUAUGAUUAUUUAUACAUAUCAAGUGGAGCUAAUUUAGGGAAAAGAAUCAAUGGUUAAGGUUGUUGUUGAUACUUAAUGAUCAGGGUCCAAAUUUUGCUAAUGUAAUUUUCCUUAUCAUAAUUUGUAUCUUAAUUUUGUUACCAAAAAAAUAUUAGUAAUAAAUAAUAUAUGCUCGAGAAAUGUACGUAUGAUUGAUUUAAACAAUACAUGUUGGAGUAAUUUACAUAUGGAUUUAAAAUAAAUUUUAAAAAUAAAAUAAAAUUUUAAAAAUCCAAAAGUAUUUUUUCUUUUAAAAAAAUUUAAAAAUAAUUUUUAAAUUAUUUACAUGAUUGAUUUAAAGGAUUUCUUUCUAUUAAUUAUUUUUAUAUUAAAUUUAUUUUCCUUUAUGUAUAACAUUUAAAGGGUUUGUAUAUAUGCUAACUCGCGAGUCAAUUAAAAUUUGUAUUAUAUUCAUUGAAUUUUUUUAAAAUAUAUAUUUUAUUAAUUUAUUUAUUUAUUUGAGACCCAUGAUAAACUUGUAUUUAAAGUUAUUGGUGCACACUAUAAAUUCAUAUAUUGAAAAUGAUAGGUGCUAAAAGUAACAUGUUUUAGUCUCAUUCUUAAUGUGUUUUUGGAUGAUUAUUCGAUAUAAAAUGGUUAAUUUUAUGCUACUAAACUUUUCAAUUUACGUUCUACACUUAAUAGAGCAUUUAGGAGCAAAAGAAGCGAAAAACGAGCGAAAAUAAAAAAAAUAGGAGCAAGUCUCAAAAGCCACACAGGCUGAGCCAUUCCACACGGGUUGGACACAUAACCGAGUGAGCCACACGACCAUGUGCUAGACUGUGUGGAAAUCGCAAAUUACACUCCAAACGGCGUGAAAACACGUUAAUUUUAAGGUUUUUUAAGCAUUUUAAUACCUAUACAUGACAAAGAUAAGAAGAGGGGAGAGAGUCGUCAGAAAAUAUUAAAGAAAACAACUUAAAAAACACCAUUGAAGCUAACUUUGAAGCAAAUUUUCAUCAAGAUUGAAGAUCUCAUUUUGAUUUUUUUGAAGUUUAUUAUGAGUUUCUUUAUUUAUUGUAGUUAUACUGUCUUUAGGAUGUUUUUAUUUGCUAUCAUGAACGAAUUUUCUAAAUACCUAGGGAGAUGAAUCCUAUCAUGAAUUAUGUUAUUUGAUUUCUAUUUUUACGUAAUAAAGACUUAGAUCUUAUUCUCAAUUAUGUGUGCUUAAUUCUUGGUUUAAUAUUUCUAGACUAUUAAUCAAUGUUUGAUGUGCUUAAAUCAGAGGAGGAAUAAACCCUAUUUAAGAGUAGAUCUAGCGUAAAUGAGUGGAGUUGCAUGCAAUCCUAGAAAUAGGACAACAUAAAUCUACCGUAAUAGAUCCAAAUCUAAUAGGGGAAUCUAUAGAUCGAGUUAAUACGAUGAUAGAGGUUUUAAUUAGAAAUAAAUUUCAGUUAAUUAACCUAGAGUCAGUUACUCUUAGUCUUGAAGAGAUAUAUUAGCAUAAUUUAGGGAUUUUUACAGAUCAAUAUUCUAAGUGACGAAGUUGUGUAAUAUAGAUUGAUAAUGACAUAUGAAGUCUAGGUAGAUUCUUUCCUAGGUAUUGUCUCGCUCUUGGUUAUUAUUUGAUUAUUUUCUUGAUUUGUGCUUUGUUGUGUUAUUUAGUUAACUAAUUUAGUUAAUUUUAGUUCCAACCAAUCACUCCAAUUUAUCAGUUAAAUAAUAGAAAAGACGGUAAUUACUGGUACUUUUAGUCUUUGUGAAAACGAUAUCUUUGCUCACUAUAACUAUACUAUUAAUUGAUGUGCACUUGUCUGAGUUAGAUUUUUAGUUGGUUUACGACUGCAAUCAAAAAACUCAUUAAGUUAGCACAAACUAAGUUAAUUAUUCGUUGGUUGCUUUAUUUUUUUUCCUGAAGUUUCGAUUUCAUCUUUCAUUAUGUACAACAAUUUUGGUAUAAAAAUAUCAAAUUCUCGACACUUAAUAUAUACCUUUGAAAUAUAAACACAUGCAUCAAUUUUUUUAGGUUCCUCACAACUUACUUGUCCAAAAUUCUUGUAUCUUUCAGUUCUCCUGAUUGAAUCAAAAUUUGACUUUGUAAUUAUUUUUUAAGGACCUCAAACUAUCAAUUUAUAGUAUAAAUUUUCAAUAGCUUUCAUUCUUUACAAAUUGGUCCCUAAUUAAUCAACAAUGGUAUUAAAGCUUAAGCUUAGGGUCCCGUUGUUUCACUGAAAAUGGCUUUCGAAAAAUAAUUUCUAGAAAAUGACUUACUUUCCUAGAAAAGUUAAUAUUUUCUGAUGUUUGGAUGAAUCAGUGUAAAAUAUUUUAUAUUGUUUGACAAAUUUCUUAAAAAUAUUUCAUAAAAGCUGUUUUCAAUGAAACAAACAUGCAUUUGAGAUUUUCUUAUCUUUUCAUUGUUUAAUUAAGUUUAUCUUAUAUCUAUAAAUUUAUAUUUUACAUUUUUUUGCAUAUAAUAAAAAUAUAUAUUUUUUAAUUCAGGUUCACUACCAUGUCACUUUUUAGUUACAUGACUACCAAGUGAGUAUUUUUUUUAUUUAAAAAUGUGACAUCAACAAAAUUGACAAAAAAAAAAUUUAGCAAUGUCAACAAUUGGACUUGAUUUUCAAAUCUGAAAAGUAGAGGGACUAAAUUCUUGAAAAUAAAAGUAUAGAGACUAAAUUGAAAAUUUGUGAAGAAUACAUAGACUUAUCACAUUUUUUAACUUUUAUACUACAAAAUAUUUAUCAUUAAUAUAUUUAUAAUUAUAAUAAAUAUUUAUUAUUAAAAUAUUAAUAUUAAAUAUUUUCAAUAAGAAGAAUAUUAUUUAAAAUUAUUUUUUUUAAUUUUUUAUUAAAAUAAAAUUGAAAUAUUAAAUAAUUUAUUAAAAUAAUUAAUUUUAUUAAUAAUUAAUUUUAUGACUAAAUAUAAAUAAUUAAAUAUGUGUGUUUAAUAAUAUUGAAAUAUAUAAUAUUUUAUAUUAAUAUUUUAAAUAUUUUUAAAAAUAAAAAUAAAAUUUAUUUUCAAUAUAAUAAUAUUAAUAUUGAUUUAAAUGAAUUUUUAUAUAAAAAUAAAAUUACCUAUAGAUGAGCUCUUUUCCAGAAAAUGACUUACACUUUUCAAAAGGAUAAGUCAUUUUAUAGGAAAAAGAGUUCAAUUUUACAUUGACCUGUAAGUCAUUUUCCGAUGACCAAAAUGUUUUCUGUAAAAUAAACAUAAGAAAAUGAAGAAAAUAUUUUCCGUAAAACCUUUUACAUGUAAACAAACGGACCCUUAAUUCAAGCUUGUUCUAACAUAACCCACUUCACUAUUAGCAUGACUCUUCCUUAUACUAUGUUUAACCAUUAACCCUUCUCAUGAUUUCUAACAAAAAUUCUCUAAGUUCUCUUUAAUGGAAACUUCUAUUAGCUUCAACAAUAAGAAAUUCUAACCAUUGGGUUGGUUGUAUCAAGUUUCAUAGUUUAAAAAACUAUAAAAAAAUUAUUUAGAAAACAAUUUGUUUACCUUUGAUGGCCUUGAUGGAGAACAACUUGGUUUCUUCUUCUACUUAGUUUAAAGAAUGCAUGAAGAAGAAGAAGAUUUCCCCUCUCCCUCUAUCUUAAAUAUAUAUAUAAAUAACCUAUUAAUCAAGGUAAUUAACUCACUAAUUAAUCUUAAUUAGUUAUGAUCUAAUGGCCAUAAACUUACCAUAAGAAAAUUAGUGGAAAUGUGUGGCAUUGAUAAUGGUUUGCCAAUAAUCAAACUUCGGGCAUGGUAAUAUUGCAAUCAGGUCCUUGGUUUAAUUACACUUUAAGUACUUGCUAAAUUCUCUAAUCAAUUCCCACUAGUUGGAUCACUUGAACAAUUGGGUCCAUGUAUUAUAGUUACAACUUAUCUAAUUUAAUCAAUUAAUGAUUUGACUUUAUAAUUUCAUGUGCAACACACAAACUCCUCCGGUAAAUUCUCAAGCUAGCUUUAUUUAAAAAUUUGGCCUCAAAACCAGCUUUCCAAAUGUUCAUGAAAAUUGAGUUGUUACAUUAUGGUAUUUGUUUUGUUCAGCUUAUUUGUCAAGCUCUAUUCCUUUGAACUUAUGUUCGUUGACUUUGGUGUUGCUUAAAUGAAAAUGUGGUGAACAAUAUUAUGGAUAGGAGGAGUGUAUGAUUGAGUAUGUGUAACACCCCUAACCCACAUCCUUCGCCAAAUUAAAGUGACAGAGUGUUAUUAUUCAAAACAGAACAUUCCAUGACAACACAUAAACAAUUAUGCAAAUUAUCACAAUCAUUAAUUAACCAUAUUAAAAUAUAACAUAAGUAUCCAUACGACCUUUAAAUCGAGCUUAUAUGGCCUUAAAAAUAGCUUGGGAUCAAUCUAGGAUCAAUUUGGAACAUAACAUAAAUUUUAAGAAAAAUCUAAAAAUUUUGGGAAACAUGGGUCACACAACCGUAUGUCCAGGCCGUGUGACAUAGCCCAGACCUUGUGGGAAUUCAAAAUCAGGACACUCAAUCAUGUCCUAGCCCGUAUGUCUACCUGUGUGAAUAUUUGAAAUAGGGUCCCACAGUCGUGUCGCGGCCAUGUGCUAAACCGUGUAUAUAUUCAAAUUAUGAACACAUGGCCGUGUCGCAAGCCAUGUGCUAGACCGUGCUCAAAACUAUUUUGAGACACACAGCUGUGCCUUAGGCUGUGUGAAAUUUUCACUUUAGACAACGACACACAGCCGUGUGCCAGACCAUGUACACCAAAAUGUACCUUAAAAAUCAAAUUUACCAAAACAUGUUUACUUAGGCAUCAAGCAACCUAAUUACCAUCAAUCAAACUCAUUCAAAACACAAUUAAACAGGUUCAAAACAUCCAUCCUAAGUGCCUAGCCAUUGUGCCCUCAUUGACAUCAUAAUUCAAUAAUCAAAUCAAUCACAUUUAAACCAAGAUUUAAACAUUCAAAUUAUAAAAUCAUCAUUAACCAUUCAUACCAAAACACUGAUCAUUUCAAGUCAUAAACACCUAGCAAUAUUCACAUACUUUAUAAAGCUUAACUACCAAUACCAAAUAAGAUCCAUACACACAUACAUACCAAACAAAACACAUAUUCACAAGUAUCAUUCAAGAUUUACAACUUUACAUGUAAUUAACAUAAUUUCAAGUCAAUUAUUACAUGUCAUACAACCCAAAACAAACACUAAACAAACUACCAAUAGUUUCUCGAAUAGUGUGAUUCUUGAAAUCAAAUUGAUCACCCGAAGCGUCAAAAAUAAAUCUACAAGAAAGCAUUGGAAGAGACACAAGAGUAAGCUUACUUAAGCUUAGUAAUUUCCAUGGAUUUAAACAAUCAACUUACCGGAUAAACUUAUCUAAUAUAGAGUAUAGAAAAGUCAUAAAUCAUAAUCAUGUCAUCCAUAAUCAGAUCACGAGUGAGUCUUAAACUUAAAUAUGAAUGAAUUAAUUCAAUCAAUUACAUUAUAUCACUAAAUUAUACCCGAUGAACGUUGCAAUGGAUUUGGAUACACAGUUAACCAACCAAACACUCCAAAUCACUCAAAUGAGCUAGCCAUCUGAAAGUACACAUGGGCACCAAGUGCCAAGCCCAUAGGCUAACAUCCCUCCGAAACACACCUUGUCACCAAGUGCCAAGCCCGUAAGCUUUACAUCUGCCCCAGAAACACACCUGAAGCACUGCAAUAUAACGUAAUAGUUCGCAACAAAUGUUGAACUUCAAUAUAUUCAAUAAACAUGAAUAAGAUCAGAAUCAUCAUCUCCACAUCCACCAAUCUCGUAAAGCGCACGAUAUAACUUAUUGACAUGCCAAUUGUAUCCUAUCAUACAUUCAUCGGCUCACAUAUUUGUCAUUUAACAACAUUUAAUACAAUUUCUUUCCCAAAUCAUUUCACUUACCACAAUUCAAUACUUCCAUGUCAUUUAAUAAUUUCAAUCCACAAGUAAUUAAAUAUUUAAAUUAUACUAAAAUUAAACUGUACAAACUCACUAGGGCCAAAUUGCAGAAACAACAAAAGUUCAGGGACUAAUCAACAACCUUCCCUUUUUCCACAAUUAUCAACUUGAUCUUGAUCUAUAAUAUAAUUUAUUUCAAUUAUUAGCCUCAAUUUUCAUAUUCUAAUCAUUUCAAAACAUAUGAUCUCUUAUUUAUAAAUUUACACAUUUAUCCCAAAUUUUUACAUAUUAUACAAUUUAAUCCCUAUGACCAAAUCAAGCUUAGUUCUACAAUUAAAUUCUCAAUCCAUAGAACUAAAUUUUAACCACAUCCAAAACAAUCCAUAUAUGCUAAAAUUUUCAAGAGUAACAUGUCUAUUUCAGUUAAAUCACUAAACAUCAAAUUUUGUAAAAAUCACUUACAAACUCAAUACAUAUGGUCACCAAGCUUCAACCCAAACUAUUUACUACUACAAAUCUUCGAAAAUUUCAAUACAUAAUUUCUAUACUUUGAUAACUUCACAAAUAAACUCCAAAACUAGCUAAAUUCCAUUAUCAAUAGCUCAAAACUUAAAAUUUGAUGAUGAAUAAACCAAGAAAAUACUUACAUGCAUUAAAAACUAACAAAAACCAAGAUCCAAGCCUUAGAACAAUGGUGUUUCGGCCAAACCUAAGAAAAAUAAAGAAGAUGACCACUACCCCACUUUUGUUUUACUUUCCUUUUAUUAUUAUAAUAAUCUUUAUUUAUGAAAUUAUAACAUUAUAAAACACCAAUUUAAUUUUUUUUCUCUCUUUACCGCCCAUAUUAACUAACUAUGGGCUAAUGGCAACAUAACCUCCCUUAGUUUACUAAUUUAAGCUAUUAUAUUAAAAUAAAUCUAUAAUAAGCAACUUUUCCACCUAUUACAUAUUAAUCUUUUUUCUUUAAUCAAUUCACUAUACGUUAAAUUUUCUAAACCAAAACUUAAUACGACACUGAUGACUUUGUAAAUAUUAAAUAAUUAAUAAUUCUAGACUGACACGUCGAAAGUGUAGUCCUAAAACUAUUAUUUUCGACACCACUGGAAAUCGAACUGUUAUAGUAUGAUUCUACCUCUUAGGGGGAGACGUAUUCUAGUUUCCUUUGACUUGUUUAGAUGAUGUGUUAAUCAUUUGCUACUGGUUUUGUCAAAAUGCCAAAUGGUGAGAUUGUUUCAAACUUUGUUCAUGUUCGAACAUUAGAUUAAACAAUGCUUAAUUUGAUGCAUUCAAAGAAUUUAUGUUGGCAUGUUUGACUUUAUAAUGAAAUGGCUUAUGAUUUAAUCUCGUUGAGUAGCAAAUGGGGAAGUGAUUUUGUGUUAUAACAUGUGAUGAUCAUUAUCUUUCAAUCAACUACCUUGAAGAAGAAUGGGAGGAGUUUGAACUUUUGUGGACUUUCGUAAUAUUUGAAGCUGCUAAGAUACUUGUUUAUAAAGACUUUUAUGAUAUAACUAAUCAAAAUAAUUCAUGUCAGAAUUUUUGGAGUUUUAAACUUAUGAAGACUCUAGUAUUGGCCUAUAAAUAGGCAUAAUUACCGCACAUUGAAAAUAGGCUUUUGGAGGGUUUAAGUUGGAUGCUUUGGUGAAUUUUUCCUGUGUUUUAUACAACACUCUUUUUUAAGUUUUUAUUGGGGGAUAUUUGCUUGAUUGUAAGUGAGAUAUUUUGGAGAGAGUGAUUUGUAAUAAUUUAGGUUCAAUAUUGAAGUUGCAAAUAACUACAAGGUAAUGGUAAUUUGGACUCUAGUCAAUAGUUAAUCAAGACGAAUUGUAAAUAAAAAUUAUUUUUUAAGUGAAACUUUACAGAAUAAAACUAGUGAACUCAAACUACGCUAACAAAUAUUAUAUACUAUCUUUCCUUACUUUACUCGUUGCUUUACCUUAUUUUAAAAUUGCUUUGUCAUAAAUGUAUUAUGUUUGACCCUUUCCGAUCGAAAUAAAAAAAUGAGAUUGAAAUUGUGAUAAAGCUAAAAAAAAGUUACAACAAAUAUGAUUAAUAUUAUUUUUAUAUAUACUUACUAAAAUUUAAAAAGGAAUUACAUUUAUCGAAUAUUAUUUUAUUUAAUAAAUAUAAUUAAUAUAUUUUAUAUAAAAUUUAAACUUUUUAUUAUUUGUUAGCUAAAUUUUAUUAUUUUUAUUUUCUUUAUGAAUAAAAUUAAUUUUCCUAAAAUUUGAGAUAAAAAAAUGUUAUAUAGAAAAUUAAAUUAGUAAAAAGUGCAGUUCAUACUUUAUAAUUAUUAUAAAUGAAAAAAUAUUAUAAAAGAUAAAUAUUAAACAUAAAAAAAUCAAUUCUAAAAUAAACUUAACUAUUAUAAUAAAAUAUUUUUAUAUAAAAAAGAAAUUAUAGAAAAGACUUACUGAUUAUAUUUCCAAUUUUCGACAUUCAUAAAAAAAAAGUGGUCCUAAUAAUUUAUUUAUACAAAAAAAAAAGUGGUCCUAUUAAUUAACCUCACAUUUGAAAUGUGUUAUAUGUAAUAAUAUUAAUAUCUUUAUCAAUUUUGGAGGUUCAUCCUUUCCCAUCUCUAUAAAUUCGCAUGGAGAAAUAAAGCAAUACAUCAACACAAUCUGUAUAACCAUGAAAACCACAACAGCUUCAGUGUUUCUUCUUUUCAUCAUCUUCUCAGUCACACCAUCAUCCUUUUUGUUUGGUGUAGCCAACGCUACAAACGAACCUGUACUCGACUUUGAUGGCAACGAGGUUCAAACAGGCACCCCAUAUUACGUUGUGUCGUACAUAUGGGGUGCUGGUGGUGGGGGGCUUGACCUAGGCAGGCCUAGUGGAAACCCAUGCCCGGAAGUCGUUGCUCAAAGAGGAUCCGGUGACAAUGGUAUUCCGGUGAUAUUUUCUAAUUCGGACUCCAACGAUGGCGUUGUUCGCCUAUCCUCUGACAUAAACAUAGAGUUCAUUUCCCUCAGACCCAAACUUUGCCGAACAACAACAGUGUGGAAGGUCGAUGAUUACGACCAUUCAGCCGGAAAAUGGUGGGUGAUAACCGAUGGGGUUAAAGGGAACCCAGGUGCCAACACUUUGACCAGUUGGUUUAGAAUAGAGAAGGUGGGUACUGAUUUUCAAUAUUACACAUUUAAGUACUGCCCCGCAGUAUGUGGAACAUGCCCAGCCUUAUGCAACCAAAUUGUGAGAGACUUUGAUGGAGAAAUGGUACGUUUGGCUCUCACCACUGGCCAUGGAUGGCCAUUUAUCUUUAAGAAAGUUGGAAAAUCAGCCAUGGAGAUUGAACAAGUUGUUCAUAAUUAGAUUGAAAGCAAUCAUUAUGCAUGAACUAGUAGUUACUACAUAAUAUUAGCUUCAAGUAAAUAAUGCUGAGGGAACUUAUUGUUAAGAUUGCCUUGUUUGAAGCGGCAGCAUGUAUAUAUAUAUGCUUGCUUACAAGGUUUGUCUCUCAGAGUCCUCCUCUUUGUACUCUUUUCAGCUUAAUGAAUAAACUGUUUACUUAUUUACUUCUUUUGUUGCCAUUGAUUCUAGUAGCAUUCGACUCAUUAACUUGGAUACAUUACCUUGUAAUUAACCAAAAAGUUAUGUGUAUAUAUAUAAAGAGUGUGUGAGAGAAAAAAUAGAAUACCAAGUACCAAGUGAAAAAUGUUAAUACUAGGAUUAUUCAAAGCGAUUUCAAUGAACAGAAAUGGAAUAGUCGUCGGGUGGUUAGGGCAUUUUAUCUUUAGAGAUAAAGAAGGUUGGUUCAUGUUCGGAGUUUGUGGCUACUCCUUCAAUAAUAUCGUUUUUAAAGUUUAAACUUGUAUCACAUUUUAAACACGUAAUGUAUCUUACCAUUACAUCCAACAAUAUUAACCAUUUACUCUAUUGUAUUGUAUUGUAUUCUAUUAUUAAUUAAUGAUUAUGAUAUGUAUUAAGUUUAAGAUGAAUUUUCUCAGUAAUAUAUAUCAAUGGAAUCAAAUAUUUGUAUUUAAAGUUUUAACUCCACAUUAACUUUUUCUUUAUUUUGUCCGUUUGCUGGCGAUGAUUAGGAGAUUAAUGGUUGGUAUUUGUGGUUAGUAGGUUAUAACUCAAUAGUGAACUCGAGGGUUGAUAGUGGCCCGACUCCACUUAAAUAAAAAAUUUUACAUUUAAAUCUCUUUAUAAUUUAUAAAAUUUUAAAUUAAUAAUAAAAAAAUUAUAUUUUAACUCUCUAAAAUUAAUAAAAAUGAUAAAAAUGUAGAAGUAAAUUUAUACAAUUAAUGAUAAUAAUGAUAAGAAGUUGUUUCCUGUCACAUGGAAAUUUAUGGCAUCGUCCAUUUGGUUUUAUAUUUGUCCAUUUGCUUGGUUAAGAGUUGAAAGACAAACUAUAAUUAAGUAUACAAAACCAAACGAAUUUCAAGGGUUUUCUCUUCAAUUAUUGUCGAAUUUAGCUAAUUAUUAGUAAUUUUUAUUAUUUAAUUAUAAAAAUUAUAAAAUAAUGACUUAAUUAUAAGAAUUAUAAAAUAGUGACUUAAUUAUAAAAAUAUAUAUAAAUAGCCAUCUAAUUAUUUAAUUUUUUUUCUUUUUUAUCAUCACCGGAUUAAUGGUGGUAAUUUUUAUAAUUGACAUAAUAGUAACUUUAACCAUUAAUAAUUAUACAUUAUGUCAAUUUAGUCUUGAUUCUAAAAAAUUUAACCUUUGACAUUUACACAUAUAUAAUUUGACAUUUUUAUAAUUUUAUUUUUUACUAAAAAUAAAUCAUGAAAAUAAUAAAAUAUGCAUAAAAAUAAAAAUACAGCUACCGAGUAUAUGUCUUAAUGUAGAUUUAUAACAAUUAUCUUUUCAUAAAGAUAUUUUAUUAUAAAAUAUAUAAUAAGCACUUCCCUGUAACAAAUAAAAUUGUAGUAAACAAAUGAAAUUAUUAUAAAGAAGAAUUUUCUAUUUUCAUAAUAAUAAUAAUAAUAAUAAUAAUAAAAGAAAAGAAAAAAGUGGUUCUAUUAAUUCACCUCACAUUUGAAAUGUGUUAUAUGUAAUAAUAUUAAUGUCUUUAUCAAUUUUGGUGGUUCAUCCUUUCCCAUCUCUAUAAACACUACACCAGAAUAGGUUUUUAGCGGCGUUUUUUAGGCCUUUAGCGACGCUUAUUAACGCCACUAAAUCUAUUUCCGGCACUUACAAAAAAAAGCCGCUAAAGAUCAUGUUCUUUAGCGGCGCUUAGGAAAAAACGCCGCAAAAAAUCAUGUUCUUUAGCGGCGCUUAGAAAAAAACGCCGCUAAAGAUCAUGUUCUUUAACGGCGCUUAGAAAAAAACGCCGCUAAAGAUCAUGUUCUUUAGCGGCGCUUUGGAAGAAAACACCUCUAAAAGUAAUGUUCUAUAGCGGCGCUUGUUCAAAAACGCCGCUAAAAGUAGUGUUCUUUAGCGUCGCUUGUUUCACAAACGCCACUGUUUUGAUAUGACUUUUAGCGGCGCUUUUUUAAAAAAUGUCACUAAUUUUGGGAUUUUUUUAAAAUAAAAUUUUCUGUUUUUUUCAGCCCUCCUGCAACAACAAAUCAAAAGCAACCAGAUCUAAACUAACCAAAAAUAAUAAAUUUAUAUAAUAUUUCAAAUUAAAUGAAUAAAAUAAUAUUAAUUGAUAUAAAUAAAAGUGAAUUUCAGACUUUUCUUUACAAAAACGUUAAAAGUAUUUAUGCAACAUACACUAUGACGGCGGAAGUUGCGACUGCUGAAACAUCUUCAUCAUAAUCUAAAGCUGCUGUUGAAGUUCGUCGUACUUUUUGCUCUACUUUGCUUCUCUCGAUGCCGCAUCUUUUUGAAGCCGUAGCUGUAGUUCUUCACAUUUCUUUUGAACCUCUGCUUCUAUCGCUGCUUAUCUCGCUACGGCAUCUGCUUCCCUCACUGCUGCCUCUGAUUUAAGUUGUUGCUGAAGUUCUUCAUAUUUCCUUUGAACCUCAAAUGUGGUCGCUUGCAUCUGAGUCAUCUAGUCUUUUAACCUCUGAACUUCAGCUUGAGACUGACUCCCCGAAGCCAUGUAUUGGUGCGAGCUGGAUCCAAAAUAUUGGGUUGGGCUGAUAAAAGAUCCUUGAAAUCGAACCCGACCAUACUUUUCAGGACCCAAAACUUUAGUAAUAAUCCGGUUAUCAAUGUCUUCAAGAUGAAUAGAACUAUCACUAGAAGCAAUCGUUUCGUACUCUGUCUUUUUUUCCUUCAGUUUUUCCUAAUAAAUAAAUCACAUAGUUAGGAACGCAAUAUAUAGUAAAAAAAACAAAUGCAAUAUAACAAUAGUCGCAUUACAAGCAAUGAAUUAAACCAUUAGAAAAUAAACACUAUAAAUAACUAAAACAAGUGAAAUCGUAUUAAGUAAACGUACCAUAAUUUCACCAGCUUCAGGAGUCAUAGCAGAUCCAUCUUUCUUCUUAUGUGUAAUUUCAAAAAGUUGAAGGCGUCCAACUUUUUGAUCGGACGACCGUUCCUACAACACUCUUUUUUAAGUUUUUAUUGGGGGAUAUUUGCUUGAUGUAAGUGAGAUAUUUUGGAGAGAGUGAUUUGUAAUAAUUUAGGUUCAAUAUUGAAGUUGCAAAUAACUAUAAGGUAAUGGUAAUUUAGACUUUAGUCAAUAGUUAAUCAAGACGAAUUGUAAAUAAAAAUUAUUUUUUAAGCGAAACUCUACAGAAUAAAACUAGUGAACUCAAACUACUGAACUCAAACUACGCUAACAAAUAUUACAUAUUAUCUUUCCUUACUUUACUUGUUGCUUUACCUUAUUUUAAAAUUGUUUUGUCAUAAAUGUAUUAUGUUUGAACCUUUCCGAUCGAAAUAAAAAAAAUGAGAUUGAAAUUGUGAUAAAGCUAAAAAAAGGUUACAACAAAUAUGAUUAAUAUUAUUUUUAUAUAUACUUAAUAAAAGUUAAAAAGGGAAUUACAUUUAUUGAAUAUUAUUUUAUUUAAUAAAAUAUAAUUACUAUAUUUUAUAUAAAAUUUAAAUAUUUUAUUGUUUGUUAGUUAAAUUUUAUUUUUUUUUAUUUUCUUUAUGAAUAAAAUUAAUUUUCCUAAAAUUUGAGAUAAAAAAUGUUAUAUAGAAAAUUAAAUUAGUAAAAAGUUAAAAAAAUCAAUUCUAAAAUAAACUUAACUAUUAUAAUAAAAUAUUUUUAUAUAAAAAAAAAGAAAUUAUAGAAAAGACUUAUUGAAUAUAUUUCCUAUUUUCGACAUUCAUAAAAAAAAAAAAGUGGUCCUAAUAAUUUUUUUAUACAAAACAAAAAAAAGUGGUCCUAUUAAUUUACCUCACAUUUGAAAUGUGUUAUAUGUAAUAAUAUUAAUAUCUUUAUCAAUUUUGGAGGUUCAUCCUUUCCCAUCUCUAUAAAUUUGCAUGCAGAACUAAAGCAACACAUAUCAACACAAUCUGUAUAACCAUGAAAACCACAACAGCUUCGGUGUUUCUUCUUUUCAUCAUCUUCUCAAUCACACCAUUGUCCUUUUCGUUUGGUGUGGCCAACACUUCAAACGCUCCUGUGCUCGACAGUGAUGGCAACGAGCUCCGCACAGGCACCCCAUACUUCGUUGUGUCGUCGAUAUGGGGUGCUGGUGGUGGGGGGCUUGCCCUAGGCAUGCCUAGAGGAAAGCCAUGCCCGGAAGUCGUUGCUCAAAGAGGAUCUGGUGACGAUGGUAUUCCGGUGAUAUUUUCUAAUUCGGACUCCAACGAUGGCGUUGUUCGCCUAUCCUCUGACAUAAACAUAGAGUUCAUUCCCCUCAGACCCAGAUUUUGCCAAACAACAACGGUGUGGAAGGUCGAUGAUUACGACCACUCAGCCGGAAAAUGGUGGGUGAUAACCGAUGGGGUUAAAGGGAACCCAGGUGCCAACACUUUGACCAGUUGGUUUAGAAUAGAGAAGGCGAGUCAUCUUGAUUACACAUUUAAGUACUGCCCCGCAGUAUGUGGAACAUGCCCGGCUUUAUGCAACAAAAUUGCGAGAGACUUAGAUGGAGAAAUGAUGCGUUUGGCUCUCUCCACUGACCAUGGAUGGCCAUUUUUCUUUAAGAAACUUCAAACAUCAGCCAUGGAGAUUGAACAAGUUGUUCAUAAUUAGAUUGAAAGCAAUCAUUAUGCAUGAACUAGUAGUUACUAUACAAUAUUAGCUUCAAGUAAAUAAUGCUGAGAGAACUGAUUGUUAAGAUUGCCUUGUUUGAAGCAGAAGCAUGCAUAUAUAUAUGCUUGCCUACAAGGUUUGUCUCUCAGAAUCCUCUUUGUACUCUUUUCAGCUUAAUAUAUAAACUGUCUACUUAUUUACUUCUUUUAUUAAUGUCAUUGAUUCUAGUAGUAUUAGACUCAUUAACUUGGAUACAUUGUCUUGUAAUUAACCCAAAAAUUAUAUAUAUAUCAAAAAAAAAAAUGAGAGUGAGAGAGGAAAAUAGACUACCAAGUAACAAGUGAAAAAUGGUAAUACUAGGGUUAUUUAGAGUGGUUUCAAUGCACAACCGGAAUGAAUUGUUACCUUAUCUUUAGAGUCAAAGAAGGGUUCGUGACUAGUCUUUCAACAAUACUAUUUUCAAGGUUCAAACCUGCAUUAUCCUUUAAAUACGUAAUGUAUUUUAUCAUUACGCUCAAUAUUAUUAGUGAUUUACUUUAUUCUAUUCUUAAUUAAUAAUUAUGAUAUAUAUAAAGUUUAAGAUGGAUUUUCUUAUUUAUGUAUAUCAAUUAAAUCAAAUAUUUGUAUUUAAAGUUUUAACCCAACAUUAACUUUUUUUUUAAAAAUUUCUUCGUUUGUUGGUGGUGAUUAGGAGAUUGAUGGCCGGUCUUUGUGAUUGGUAGCUUUUAACACAAUGGCGAAGCUAAGGAGGCUUUAAAUGUUUAAAUGAAUAUUUUUUUCAAUUGAAAUUUCUUUAUAAUUUAUAAAAUUUUAAAUUAAUAAUGAUAAAAUUACAUUUUAAUUUUUUAAAAAUGAUAAAAACGUGGAAGCACAUUUGUACGAUUAAUAAUAAUGAUAAUAUUUUUCCUACCACAUGGAAGUUUAUGGAAACACCAUUGGGUUUUGUAUUUAUGUUUUAUUCGACACUCUUAUAAGUUUUACUGGGGAGAUUUGUUUGAUUGUAAGUGAGGUAUUUUGCGGAGAGUGAUUUAUAAUAAUUUAAAAUUAAUAUUGGGGUUACAAAUAACUAUGGGAGUAAAGUAGUUUAGACUUUAGCUAAUAAUUGAUCAAGAUGGAUUGUAGAAUAAAAUCAUUUUCGAAGCAAAAUUUUAUAAAAUUAGUAAAUCUGAAUUAUUCUAUAAUAUUGAUAUUAUCUUUCUUCACUUUAGCCCUUGCUUCACCUUAUCUCAAAAUUAUUCUAUAAUAAUCUAUUUUGUCUCAACCUUUUCAACAGAAUUUAAAAUGAAACUAUUUCUAUGAAGUGCAAACCAAAAACUUUUUCACAUACCAAUAAAUGGCAAGCAACCAUACCGUGGGCCCAAUGUCCCAACAAUCAUCUAAACAUUUUUUUUUUCUUUUUUAAAUAAUAUGUAAUAAUUUAUAUACCAUAAAUGAAUAUUAAUUAAAAUAAUAUAAACAAAAUACGACUCUUUAAUAUAAUAUGGAUCCAAAAUGUUUCAUAUUUGAAAUGCAGUUUUUGAUAAUUUCACAUUUCAUAUUUUAUCUUAGAACAAAAAGAAAAUUUGAACUUAAUAUUUGGACUAUUGAUCAAUGGUGUUUAUUAUAUUUCAAGACUAUCAGAUUAAUCUGUCGAUACUACUUAUAUGGUAUGGUUUAAAUGGGUGUGUGUGGAUAUAGAAAUUUGAAAUUCUAUUGUAUCAAAGAAAUUUUUUUUAAAAAUAAAAUAAAAAGGAAUUUGAAAUUUAAAAUUUGAGAUCAAAAUAAAAAAAAUGAGACUUGUUAUAAACCAUAAGGCUCAAAAAAGGUUACAACAAAUAUGGUUAAUAUUAUUUUUAUAUAUACUUAAUAAAAGUUUAAAAUAUCAAAUUUGUAAUAUUAUUUUUAUUUAAUAAAAUAUAAUUAAUAUAUUUUAUAUAAAAUUUAAAUAUUUUAUUGAAAUAUUAUGUUAGGUAAAUUUUAUUAAUUUUAUUUUCUUUAUAAAUAAAAUUAAUUUUAUUAAAAUUUGAGAUAAGAUAAUUAAAUUAAUAAAAGGUAUACUUCAUAUUUUAUAGUUAUUAUAAAUAAAAAAUUAUUAUAAAAAUUAAAAAAAAAGAAUUCUACAACAUAAUGAAAUAUUUUUAUUAAAAAAAACAGAAAUGAUUGAUGGAAUAUAUUUCCAAUUUUCGACGUUCAUUAAAAAAAAAAGAGUGGUCCUAAUAAUUGAUUUAUUGGGGAAAAAAAAGUGGUCCUACUAAUUUACCUCACAUUUGAAAUGUGUUAUAUGUAAUAAUAUUAAUAUCUUUAUCAAUUUUGGAGGUUCAUCCUUUCCCAUCUCUAUAAAUUCGCAUCGAGAAAUAAAGCAAUACAUCAACGCAAUCUGUAUAACCAUGAAAACCACAACAGCUUCAGUGUUUCUUCUUUUCAUCAUCUUCUCAGUCACACCAUCAUCUUUUUUGUUUGGUGUAGCCAACGCUACAAACGAACCUGUACUCGACAUUGAUGGCAACGAGGUUCAAACAGGCACCCCAUAUUACGUUGUGUCGUCCAUAUGGGGUGCUGGUGGUGGGGGGCUUGCCCUAGGCAGGCCUAGCGGAAACCCAUGCCCGGAAGUCGUUGCUCAAAGACGAUCCGGUGACGAUGGUAUUCCGGUGAUAUUUUCUAAUUCGGACUCCAACGAUGGCGUUGUUCGCCUAUCCUCUGACAUAAACAUAGAGUUCAUUCCCCUCAGACCCAAACUUUGCCGAACAACAACGGUGUGGAAGGUCGAUGAUUACGACCAUUCAGCCGGAAAAUGGUGGGUGAUAACGGAUGGGGUUAAAGGGAACCCGGGUGCCAACACUUUGACCAGUUGGUUUAGGAUAGAGAAGGCGGGUGAUCUUGAUUACACAUUUAAGUACUGCCCUGCAGUAUGUGGAACAUGCCCAGCUUUAUGCAACAAAAUUACGAGAGACUCAGAUGGAGAAAUGGUACGUUUGGCUCUCUCCACUGGCAAUGGAUGGCCAUUUUACUUUAAGAAAGUUGGAAAAUCAGCCAUGGAGAUUCAACAAGUUGCUCGUAAUUAGAUUGAAAGCAAUCAUUAUGCAUGAACUAGUAGUUACUACAUAAUAUUAGCUUCAAGUAAAUAAUGCUGAGAGAACUUAUUGUUAAGAUUGCCUUGUUUGAAGCGGCAGCAUGUAUAUAUAUAUAUGCUUGCUUACAAGGUUAAUUUGUCUCUCAGAGUCCUCUUUGUACUCUUUUCAGCUUAAUGAAUAAACUGUUUACUUAUUUACUUCUUUUGUUGCCAUUGAUUCUAGUAGCAUUCGACUCAUUAACUUGGAUACAUUACCUUGUAAUUAACCAAAAAGUUAUGUAUAUAUAUAUAUAUAUCAAAACAAAACAAAAAAGAGAGUGAGAGAGGAAAAUAGACUACCAAGUACCAAGUGAAAAAUGGUAAUACUAAAUUUCCAGAUAUAUGGCAUUGUUUGUGUGUGACAAACACCAAGUAUAAAUAGGUGGAAGUAUGACUACUUAUCAAGAGUGGUAUGGUUCAAAAACUACCCCUAUCGAAUUAUUUCAUCCUACUCAUUCGUUAUCGAUAGGAAGAAGGAUACUUCCAACAAGAAAUAUUUUGAAGGGUUAGUGUUGAGUUAGCUAAAAAUCAAAGUUUAUCAGAAGCUCGAUCUAAAAUUCGCCAAAAGGAGGAUUAUUCAAAGCGAUUUCAAUAGACAACGGGAAUGGAAUAGUCUUUGAGUGGUUAGGGCACCUUAUCUUUUGAGAUAAAGAAGGGUUGGUCCAUGUUUGCAGUUCGUGACUAAUCCUUACAACAAUGUCGUUUUCAAGGAUUGAACAUGUGUCAUCCUUUGAACAUGUAAUGUGUCUUACAAUUACACCUAACAUUGUUGGUGAUUUACUUUAUUAUAUUCUUAAUUAAUAAUUAUGAUAUAUAGUAUGUUUAAGAUGCAUUUUCUUAUUCAUGUAUAUCAAUUGAAUCAAAUAUUUGUAUUUAAAAUUUUAACUCGACAUAUCGAAGGUCUGCUACUCUAGCACGUCUUUGGUCUGCUGCUCUAGCAUGUUUUGGUUUUUUUAGGGUUUUUUUGGCUUAUUUCUCUUUGUUCUAGCGAUGACAGUUCUUGGGAUAGAGUAUUUCUUUUCAAUCUGGUUGAUUUUGAUUCGUGGCAAUGGAGGAUGAAUUGGCAGAGUUAACAUUGGAAGAUGAGGAAUAGGAGAUUUUGCAAGUACAGAAGGAAACUGAUUCUGCGACAGUGGUUUAAGAUCUUUGUCUGGUUGGAUACUUUCUCACAACGAGUGUAAUCCACUUUAUGACAAUGAGAAGCGCGAUGGCAAAUCUAUGGCAUCCUCUUAGAGGAGUUCAGAUCUCUAAUUUGGGGGAUAAGAAAUUAUUUCAAUUUUUUCAUAAAAUGGAUAUUGAUAGGGUACUAAAUGGGGAUCCAUGGACUUUCAAUAAUCAUCUUUUGGUGAUUCAUUUUUUGGAGGAUGGUGAGGAUCCGAUGAAGGUACCGCUAAUCUAUACGACUUUUAAGGUGCAAGUGCAUGAUUUACCCCCAGGGUUUUUUACUGAAUCUAUAGCAAAGAAGUUAGGCAAUUUUAAGGGUAAGUUUUUUGGAUCAAUGGAAAAAGCUUGGGUAAGGGCCUCAGGAAUUUCUUACAUAUACGGGUUUAGAUGGAUGUUAGAUGCUAUUUGAAGCGAAAAAAGAAGAUUAUGUUUUCACUUGGCAAGUGUUCCUAUGUCAACUUGAUAUACGAAUGACUAACUCUAUUCUAUUUUGUCUAUGGUUGUUUGGUAGACAAUGACUCUUUCUGUCAAGUUAGAAUGGCUAAAGGCUUAGAAGUUGUAGAGAUGGGAUGGUAUCUGUCUCUAAAAGCCCAGUCUAGGAGAGCUACUACGAUGAACAGCGUGUGGCUGCGGGAGGAAGGUAAAGGUGAGAUAAAGGGAAAUACCAUAGGACAUUUUGAUUUAGGGUAGGGAUUGUGGAAGGAUGGAAGGAAAGAAUCUAGGAUGCCCAUAGAUCUGUGUUGGGGUUAAAUUUGGAGGGUGGUUUGAAGUUAGUGUCGGGUAUGCAAGGGAACUCUUCAACGAUACAAGAUCAUUCGAAUAUGGAUCACGACUCAGAGGAAUGCGCUAUAAAAGGUAAAGAUGGGAAAAAAAGACCCAAAAAGGAUAAUGGAAAUCAUAGUGUUUCGAUUGUGACAGAUUCACUUGUGAUUAGAGAUGAGAGAUUGUUGGGACGAACUCACUUUUUAUCGGCAGCUGCCAAGGGGCAAGAUGAUCAGUCACAAUAAAAAUAAUUAGUUGGAACAUCCGUUGAUUGGGGUGUCCACAGGCUAUAAGAAGGCUUUGACAUAUGUUGAAGGUGUAUAAUCCCCAAGUGGUCUUCUUUAUGGAGACAAAAAUUAGUAAUGUGCAAAUAGAGAAUGUGCAUAGAAGGUGUGGAUUUUUAAAUGGUAUUGAUGUUUCGGCCGAUGGUUCAAGAGGAGGUCAUUUUCUAGCUUGGAAGGAAAAUGUUAAAACGAAUCUAAUGAGUUAUUCUAGUAGUCAUGUAGAUGUUGUAUUUUAGAAGAUUGAUAAUGGAGGUUUGCUGGCUUUUAUGGGACAUCAAAUGCGUGUAGCAGAGACGAUUCAUGGAAUUUGUUAAGAAAUCUAGGACGCUCUCAAGCGUUCCCUUGGCUAGUGUGUGACAAUUUUAAUGAAAUUAUAUACUCUUUUGAAAAGGUUGGGGUGCCAAGAGAGGAGAAGAGAAUAGAGGUCUUUUGAGGAGUCUUAUAGGAAUGUUAGUUAAUGGACAUUGGAUACUUUAGGGCUAGGUUUACCUGGGAAAGGGGAAACUUACCGAAAACGAAUAUGAGAGAGCGACUGGAUAGAGGAGUGGCGAAUGCCGAAUGGAUGAACAUGUUUUCUAGUGCAGUGGUUUAGCAUUUACCACAUUCUUUUCCAGAUCAUUGUCCCCUUUUUAAUCAUACGGAGCAGGAGAGUAAUAGGUUGAGGCAGAAAAGGUUUCAGUCCGAGGCAUGGUGGGUGAUGUAAGAAUCUUUUGAGGAGGAGGUUAAACAAAUAUGUCAAUCUACUUCGGGUGAUAUGUUGGCUAAGCUAGAAGGUGUGAGGAAGGGCUUAGUGAGAUGGGCGGGUUUUGUUAGAAAUAAAAGAGAGGGCCUUAAAAGGAAUUUGACUAGAAAAUUGGAGGAGAUGAUGGGAAAGGAUAGAGAUGAUGAGAAUAUUGUUGAACUAUCUUAAAAUUCUCUUGUCAUAACUUGAAGUUUGUGUCAUUUAAUAUAAGAAUACAAUUAAUGCCUGCAAUAAUGUUGGCAGGUAUAAUUAUUGUUGUAUCAAACAAAACAAUCUCAUGUAUGACUUCAAAUAUAAAACAAAAUAAUAAUUAAUUCGAAUAAAGGUAAACCCUAAGAUACCAAUCACUCCAUUAAUAUUUCAUUUUUGAACAAAUAUAUUAAGUUGUAAAUGAUAUCUUGGUGUAGUAAUUAAACACCGACAAUAAGCGUCACAUGUUUAUUACAACAGUUGCAAAUGUAAUUUUGUUAAAUAUUAGCCUCCAUUUAGGCCAGUCAAUAUUAACAUAACUUAAGUUACAUACACACAACCCCAAAAUUAUAAAAGUCCUAUUGUUAAAUUGAUUUGGUUCCUUUGACAUAGGAAAGCCGAAUUGCAUAAACAAUCAAUGUAUCCCCUAUUUUAUUCAUGUUUAUCACAAUGUUUGAAGGAGUGCUCACUCUUUUAGGGCGUGUUUACCAUUGAGGUUGAAAAGUAUCAUUAAACCCAAACAAUUAUUUCAAACCAAACAUUAAUUUUAAACUAGGAUUUUAGGCCAACCCAAAACUUCUAGCUUUUACUUUUUGGAAAGGUGCUUUUCAAUUAAAAACCUUUUUAUUCCUCGUUAAACUUUCUACUUUAUAACAUAAUGUCUAAAAUGGAAAUUUUAUUUUUCUAAAAACACUUAUAGACAACAAUAAUAAUUACUAUUAAUUUUUUCAAAAUCACUUUUCUACGGCACUGUUAAACUUAAAUGAUAAUCUAGCCUUUUAACCACUCUUUUCUAACAGAGAGCUUAUCUCUUAGCAAUAGUUUGGGCAAACAAAAAUAAUGUAUAUAUGAAAACGAAUAUUGAAUUUGAAUGUACAAUCAAUUUUCUGAAUAAUUAAUUAAAAAGAAUGUUUGAAUUCAAAAAUUUUAAAAAUUUUGAUAAAAAAUGUGGAAGCGCAGACUUGUGUGAUGAAUAGUAAUGAUAAUAAUGAUAGAAGCUGUUUCCUGGCACGAGGAACUUAUGGAAUUCGUCCAUUUGGUUCUAUAUUAGCCCUGUUGCUUCCGUGUUUAAGAGUAAAACGACAAAAUAUUAAGUAGAAAACACCAAACGAAUUGAACUAUUUUCUUAAGAUGGUGUCGGUAAUGUAUCUGUGGAUACCCAUUUGAAUUUUUAAAAAACUGAAAAAAUUAAUUUAUUUUUUAGAUUGAAUCAGCAGCAGGAAAAUAAGAAAAAAUACAACUUUGAGUUUGAGUUUGGAACUCUGAGAUUUCGCUCGGUGAUCUGAAUGGUGAGGUGGUAUGUUUAAAUACGGAGAAUAAUAUAUAUUCGACUAGCAACAAUCUGAUGGAGUGAAAUAGGAACUGAAAAAAAGGGUAAUUUAAAGUUUUGGUCAUUGUUUUAAAAGAUUACCUUCAGUCAUUAUAUUUUUCAGUUUUGGAAUUCCAGUACUACUUAAAUUGUAAUUGUUAAAUCUAUUUACUAUAAUGAUAUAAAAUUUUUAUGAAUAUUAACACUAUUAUUUUUUUUAAAGCACUUAUUCAUGGCACAAGGAACUUAUGAUGAAUAGUAAUGAUAAUAAUGAUAGAAGUUGUUUUUCUGGCACAAGGAACUUAUGAUGAAUAGUAAUGAUAAUAAUGAUAGAAGUUGUUUUCCUGGCACAAGCAACUUAUGGGAUUCGUCCAUUUGGUUCUAUAUUUCUCCGCUUGCUUGAGCGUUUAAGAGUUAAAGGACAAAUUAUUAAGUAGAAAACACCAAACGAAUUGGAAGGCUUUUGUCUUCUUCAAUUGGUAUGACCUAUAUUUCUUAUUAAACUUCGUAUUUUACAUUCAAUAUCAUCAUCACAAUCAUUUUAAUUUAUUUUCAUGAAUAAACUUUUAUGUCUCAUUUUAAUUGAAUCAUUAAAAUUUAUUAAUUGAAUUUUUUUUUAAGAUGGUACCGUUAAUGUGUCAAGUGAUAUCAAUUUAAAUUUUUAAAAAAAGUUGUUUGAAUUAAUUUGAUUUCAUUCGGUAAUCCAAACAGUGAGAUAGUGUGUUUAACUACGGGGAAUAACAUAUAUCCAAAUGGUGACAAUCUGGUGGAGCGAAACAGAUAUCGAAGAAAGAGUAGUUUAAUGAAUUUGGAGUCGACUUCUGGAAAAUCUGAAUUAUAGAAGUGAACGAAGAGGAAAUCUCUUCUUUGGUGCCGUAAUCGACAUAAACGGCCAUUAUGAAUGGCAACAUCGAUAAUUAUUGAGUACAAUGAUUAAAAUUUUCAGUUAAAAAAAAGGAAUGGAAAGGAAAACAAAAAGAAAAACGUGGAAAGAAAGAAAGAAUAAUAAUAAUUAAUUAAUAAAUAAAAAGAGAAUUGUGGGGGCGAUGCUUUUGAACAAAUCUUGAUUUAAACUAUGUAAAGAAAAUAUGCGUUAUAUAUAUAAUUAAUUAUGCACUUAUACUUAAUAUAUUAUAUAUUUAAUGUCAUAUUUUCAUAUUCUCGGGAAGUGGUAAUAUACAAGUACUUGAUUUGAUUUAUUUCUUGAUCGCUUCGUGAAUUUUAUGUUUGUAACAAUAGGGACAGAAUUUCUUCAAUUCCAAUCGACUGGGCGUAUUGUGUCAAUUUUUUUUGAGUAAUAUACCUAGAAAUACCCGUUGAUUCCUUAUAAACGCCGUUUCAAACACAACUGGUACACCCCAAAAUAACCGUUACUCAGACAUCUUUACUAUUGACCAUGAACCUCCUUUGAGUUUUUAAUUCACCUAACUUUUCUAUUUUUCAAUCAAAAGCGAAGAAGAAAGGAAUGAAAAAAAGAAAGAAAUCAAAGUUGCUAACUCAAAACAAAUCCUGACAAUUUUGGUUGCAAUCAAUAUAGCAAGUCAAUAUAAAUUUAUAGUAAUAGCAAAUAAUAAGAAUAAGUAAUACAACGAUUUCUAACUCUAUUUAGAAUCAAAUCAGAGUAUGGUAUUUUCUUUAAUCAAUUAAUUGAAUUCAAAAUAUUCAAUUAAAAUAAAUUAAAUUGUAUAAAUUUUAUAAUUUUAAAUUAUUAUUUUUGUAUUAAUUUAAAACAAAAUAAAUAUUAUAUACAAUAAUUUAGUUGCAGCAUGUCAGCUUGAAGUCCAAGACCUUAUAACAUAUAAAUUUAAUAGAUAAUUAAUAACUAAAAAAUUAAAUAGCAAAAGCAUAAUUGCGCCACUUCUCACCAUUUUAGUGUAUGCAACUUAUUAUAUAUUUAUAUAUAUUAUCAUUUCAUUUUAAAUAAUUUAAUUUUUAUAUUAAUUUUUAUAAAUUUAGGGAUAAAUCUUAAAAUUAUACAUAAACUUUAAUUUAAUGUGUAAUUGCAUACAUAAACUUUAAUUUGGUACAAUUAUACACAUGAUACUCUAAUUGUGGUUCAAAUACAUACUUGAAACUUUAAUUUUGAUUUAAUCAUACACAUUUAAAUAAAUAAAUACAUCAAUUUAUUUUUAUAUUGGGUAAAUAUAUUUAUGUAUGCAAUAUAUAACAUAAAAUGAUGUUAUAUCAAUAAUUGUGUUAAUAAUUUUCAAGAAUUGGAUCAAAUCAAAAUUUCAUGUAUAAAAUUGCACAAAAUCAAAGUUCAUGUAUACAAUUGCACAUUAAACCAUAAUUCAUGUACAGUUUUAGUAUUUAUCCCAUAAUUUAUUAAAUAAACUUUUUACCUAUAUCAUAUAUAGAGUUGUCUGUGAACCGAGCCAAGGAAUGCCCGCUCGAAAAAAUGAGGGUUUAAGAAAAAAAAUAUGCCCAAAAAAAGGGCUUGGAUAAAAAGACAAGGCCCGUUUAGAAAAUGAAUCGGGCCUUUGCUAAGGUUUUUUUUGUCCAAGCUCAGCCCGACCCAAAUUUUCAAUAAAAAAACCCUACUGUUUUUACCGCUAUUUUUUCAUAUUUUGGUGUUGUUUUCUCACUUUUUGCCACUGGUUUACUAUCAUUUCACUAUUAUGUUACUACUAUUUUUUUUGUUAAUGUUUGGAUAUUGUAUAACACUUGUUUUAUUGUUAAUUUUGUCACUAUUUUAGAGGCAUUUGUUUGUUAUGUUGUACUUAUCUUAGUUUUUAUUUAAGUAUAAAAAAUUUUUAAAUUCUAUUUUCAAUUUAUUGGAAACAUGUAAUUUAAUAUUUGUAGUAUAUUUGGUGUAUUAUAAUAAUAUUUAUUAUUAAAAUAUUAAUAUUGAAUAUUUUCAAUAAUAUGUGAAGAAUAUUAUUUAAAAUUAUUUUUUAAAAUUUAUUAUUAAAUUAAAAUUGAAAUAUUAAAUAAUUUAUUAAAAUAAUUAAUUAUAUUAAUAAUUAAUUAUAUGACUAAAUAUAAAUAAUUAAAUAUGUAUGUUUAAUAAUAUUGAAAAAUAUAAUAUUUUAUAUUAAUAUUUUAAAUAUUUUUAAAAAUAAAAAUAAAAGUUAUUUUUAAUAUAAUAAUAUUAAGCUUGAUUUAAAUUAAUUUUUAUAUAAAAAUAAAAUUACCUAUAGAUGAGCUCAUUUUUUAGAAAAUGACUUACACUUUUCAAAAUGAUAAGUCAUUUUAUAGGAAAAAGAGCUAAUUUUACGUUGACCUAUAAGUCAUUUUCCGUUGACCAAACUGUUUUCUGUAAAACAAACAUAGAAAAAUGCAGAAAAUAGUUUCCGUAAAACUUUUUACAUGUAAACAAAUGGACCCUUAAUUCAAGCUUAUUCCAACAUAACCCACUUCACUAUUAGCAUGACUCUCCCUUAUACUAAAUUUAACCAUUAACCCUUCUCAUGAUUUCUAACAAAAAUUUUCAAGUUCUCUUUAAUGGCAACUUGUAUUAACUUCAACAAUAAGAAAUUCUAACUAUGGGGUUGGUUGUAUCAAGUUUCAUAGUUUAAAAAUCUAUAAAAAAAUUAUUGAGAAAAUAAUUUGUUUACCUUUGAUGGCCUUGAUGGAGAACAACUUGGUUUCUUCUUCUACUUAGUUUAAAGAAUGCAUGAAGAAGAAGAAGAUUUCCCCUCUCCCACUAUUUUAAAUAUAUAUAUAAAUAACCUAUUAAUCAAGGUAAUUAAGUCACUAAUUAACCUUAAUUAGUUAUGAUCUAAUGGCCAUAAACUUAUCAUGAGAAAAUUAGUGGAAAUGUGCGGCAUUGAUAAUGGUUUGCCAAUAAUCAAACUUUGGGCAUGGUAAUAUUGCAAUCAGGUUUUUGGUAUAAUUACACUUUUAAGUACUUGCUAAAUUCUGUAAUCAAUUCCCACUAGUUGGGUCACUUGAACAAUUGGGUCCAUGUACUAUAGUUACAACUUAUCCAAUUUAAUCAAUUAAUGAUUUGACUUUAUAAUUUCAUGUACAACACACAAACUCCUCUAGUAAAUUCUCGAGCUAGCUUUAUUUAAAAAUUUGGCCUCAAAAAUAGCUUUCCAAAUGUUCAUGAAAAUUGAGUCGUUACAUAUGGUAUUUGUUUUGUUCAGCUUAUUUGUCAGGCUCUAUAUCCUUUGAACUUAUGUUCGUUGACUUUGGUGUUGCUUAAAUGAAAAUGUGGUGAACAAUCUUAUGGAUAGGAGGAGUGUAUGAUUGAGUAUGUGUAACACCCUUAACCCACAUCCUUCGCCGAAUUAGAGUGACAGAGUGUUACUUGUAACACCCCAAACCCAGCCUAAACGUUAUGGUCGUAUCUGGCAAUGUCACACAAUAGUGUUUUUGAAACCUCGUUGUUACGUUGAAAACAUUUCAUGUUAUUAUCUUUAGUAAACAUUUGUUAGAACUUAGGAAGUCGUCUUUAUUCAUUUAAAACAUUUGUUUUGAAACAUCCCUCGUUGCGGAAGCUUUAAUAAAACAGUCUAAGUGAUCAUGCGUUUAGAAACUAUUUUAAUUUUUUGAAAACUGAAUUUCCUACGACCAACAGGUAUAAAUCCAUAAAGUAAAAUAAAUAAAUAAAAACCCAAAAUUUAAAACCAAAGUCCCAGAAGGUCCUUAAAUUACAACCCAAAUAAUCAAUAAUAAUUAAAUCAUAAAACGUAAAUUGAAAACCAUGAAGUCCAAAAAUUACUGUGGUCACCGCUGAGUCCUCCGUCGCACCGAUUCGUCUAAGUCUGGGGAUUACCUGUGCACGUUAAACAAAAAGGGUGAGUUUACGUAAAUUCAGUGUGUAGUCCCGCAGAAACAAAUAAACAAUCAGUAUUCACAGUGCACAGUUGAACAGUCUUGGGCCCAAGCCCAUCUCAGUACAAUGUCAAAAAUGCAGUAGCAGAAUCCUACCCAACCAACCUCCACACACUAUCUCCGCCCAACCCUACACUCCAUGUGGGGAUAUAAUCAACCCACCCAUCCCUACACUCCAAGUAGUACCGAAUGCGGCACAAAACAGUAGUUUGCAGCUGAGCUGCCAGUAAAUUAGGCUUAAAGCCUUUCAGUACACUUCCUCUGAAUAACAACCCCCAACCCGAUGCAAUGCAACAUACAAUAGAUGAUAUGCUAUUAUGCAAUUUCUGUACAUAUAUUUGGUUCAGAUAUUAACAUGCCCAGUAUAGAUAUCAUUCAGUCAAUUUCACACAUUUAGGGGUCUAAGUAGCGCUUACCGACCUUACAGUAGGUUCACAGUUGACUUGGGUGACCCGUACAACCUUAGAAACAUUCCGGUAAAAUUGGGCUACAUGCCCGUGUGUGCCCGUGUGGCCCACUCGGCCCAAUUUGGCCUUGGUCGUGUGAUCCAUUUUUAAUGUAACCCAUGCUAGCUAAAUAUUCAUAUAUGUUUUCACUAUUUACUUAUAUGUUCAUUUAAAGUUGUCUACUUGAGUCAUUGUCACUAAAUUAUUUAUACCUUGAGCUACAGAAUUCCAAAUUAAGAUCCGCUUGAUGUUUUCAAAACUAUACUCAAAUACCUUUCUACCAUAAAAUUUUCAAAUUUUAUAGUUUACCAAAUAAGUACAGUAAAAUCUUCAAAUUUAUCCCAAUUCUGCUAUUUGAUAGCUUCAACGUUUCCUUACUAAAAAUUAUUUAUCUCUUAGUACGGAAUUCGGAUGAUGUUUCCUUUGUUUCUCUUGAAAAUAGACUCGUUAAGGAUUUAAACAUAUAAAUUUAAGCCCCUAAUUAUUUUUUAAAAUUUUCGAUGAUUUUUCCAAAAUCAGAACAAGGAACCAAAACCCAUUCUAACAUUGUCUCACAAAAUUCAUUAUAUCUCAUAACUUAAAAUUUCAUUGCUUACACAGUUUCCUUCAUGAAAAACUAGACUCAAUAAAAUUUAAUAUCAUAUUUUAUUCAACCUCUAACUCAAUUUCCCCUAUUUUUGAUGAUUUUUCAAAGUUAGACUACUACUGCUGUCCAAAACUAUUUUAAUGCAGAAUGUUGAUUUCCAAGUUUAAAACACCCUUAUUUCCUUUCUCUACAAUUUUUUGCAUCAUUUUCUCUUAUUUCUCGUAUUUCUCGAUAGCAAGCAAUUUCAGCUUUUCGUUGAAUCCCAUUUUCUGCAUUUUGGGUACACACCUGGUAUCGUUUCUGAUGCGUAAGCACUCUUAAGCCUCCAGAACCUAAAAAUCGACCAAUAAAUCUCCAAAUUAAUCACUUAAUUCAUUUUUAAUCAACCAAUUUUGGAAGGAACUCGACUAAAAAAACCUAACAAAACCCUUACCUUGCUUCAGUAACCACGACUUCGCACAAUCAUAGUGUCGAUUCAAAACCACCAACCCCUUGAUUAACUCAUAAACACCAAAAAAGAAACCCCUUUUCAGAGAUUAACCAAGAACGAUUAACAAUAGAAAAAACUGUUACUUACCGAACACACGCAACCAACGAUGAACAACCAAAUCAAUUGGAAAAUAAUGAAAGAAAAGGAAGAGAAAAAAAUAAUGGAAAUUUCGGCAGCAACUAGGGGAAAGAAUCGGUAGAGGAGAGAAAAAAGAAGAAAAAAUCAGAAAAAGUUUGGGUAAUUGGAGAGAAAACCAAAACUCUACUUUUUUUUCUACAACAAAAAGAUAAUCAGAUUAUUUUCUGAUAACCUCUCCCCCAUUAUCUCCUAAAAUCACUCCUUAUUAACCCACUAAAACACAACUACUCAGAAUUUUACCCCAACACAACUCUUAGCCAAAAUUGGAGCAAAAAUACUGUCUCUACGCCAUCAUAGAGAAUUGAACAUAAGACCUCCUUCACACCAACACUCCAUUUAUCCACCAGACCAGCAAGCCCAUUCUGUUAAUUAUUUGUCAUCUUUUACUUAAAAGCCUACUGACCAAAGAUAGGGCUUAUUCAUAAAAAUACCAAAAUUUUCCCAAAACCUGGCUUGAACUUGGGACCUCUCACACACCCAAAACACUUAACCACUAAAGCAGAUACACAAUUGUGUCACACCUUCGUAAGAACAAAAAUAAAAAUUUUGGGACGUUACGUUACUAUACAAAAUAGAACAUUUCAUGACAACACAUAAAUAAUUAUGCAAAUUAUCACAAUCAUUAAUUAACCAUAUUAAAAUAUAACAUAAAUAUCCAUACGACCUUUAAAUCGAGCUUAUAUGUCCCUAAAAAUAGCUUGAGAUCAAUCUAGGAUCAAUUUUGAACAAAAACAUAAAUUUUAAAAAAACCCUAAAAAUUUUGGAAAACAUGGGUCACACAGCCGUGUGUCCAGGCCAUGUGACAUAGCCCAGACCUUGUGGGCAUUCAAAAUCAGGUAACGCAGUCAUGUCCCAGCCCGUAUGUCUACUUGUGUGAAUAUUCGAAAUAGGGUCUCACGGUCGUGUCGAGGAUCGUAUGCUAAACCGUGUGUAUAUUCAAAUUAUGGACACACGGCCGUGUCGCAGGCCAUGUGCUAGACCUUGCUCAAAACUAUUUUGAGACACACAGCUGUGUCUUAGACUGUGUGAAAUUUUCACUUUAAACAACAACACACAGCCGUAUCCUAAGCCGUGUGCACCAAAAUGUACCUUAAAAAUCAAAUUUACCAAAACAUGUUUACUUAGGCAUCAAGCAACCUAAUUACCAUCAAUUAAACUCAUUCAAAACACGAUUAAACAUGUUCAAAAUAUCCAUCCUAAGUUCCUAACCAUUGUGCCCUCAUUGACACCAUAAUUCAAUAAUCAAAUCAAUCACAUUUAAACCAAGAUUUAAACAUUCAAAUUAUAAAAUCACCAUUAACCAUUCAUACCAAAACACUACUCAUUUCAAGUCAUAAACACCUAGCAAUAUUCACAUACUUUAUAAAGCUUAACUACCAAUACCAAAUAAGAUCCAUACACACAUACAUACCAAACAAAACACAUAUUCACAAGUAUCAUUCAAGGUUUACAACUUUACAUGUAAUUAACAUGAUUUCAAGUCACUUAUUACAUGUCAUAUAACCCAAAACAAACAUUAAACAAACUACCAAUAGUUUCUCGAAUAGUUGAUUCUUGAUCUUGAUCUAUAAUAUAAUUUAUUUCAAUUAUUAGCCUCAAUUUUCAUAUUCUAAUCAUUUCAAUACAUAUGAUCUCUUGUUUACAAAUUUACAUAAUUACCCUAAAUUUUUACACAUUAUUCAAUUUAAUCCCUAUGACCAAAUCAAGCUUAGUUCUACAAUUAAAUUCUCAAUCCAUAGAACUAAAUUUUAACCACAUCCAAAACAAUUCAUAUAUGCUAAAAUUUUCAAGAGUAACAUGUCUAUUUCAAUUAAAUCACUAAACAUCAAAAUUUGUAAAAAUCACUUUACAAACUCAAUACAUAUCAUCACCAAGCUUCAACCCAAACUAUUUAAUAUUACAAAUCUUCAAAAUUUUCAAUACAUAAUUUCUAUACUUUGAUAACUUCACAAAUAAACUCCAAAACUAGCUAAAUUCCAUUAUCAAUAGCUCAAAACUUAAAUUUUAUGAUAAAUAAACCAAGAAAAUACUUACAUGCAUUAAAAACUAUCAAAAACCAAGCUCCCAAGCCUUAGAACAAAGGUGUUUCGGCCAAACCUAAGAAAAAUAAAGAAGAUGACCACUACCCCACUUUUGUUUUACUUUCUUUUUAUUAUUAUUAUAAUGUUUAUUUAUGAAAUUAUAACAUUAUCAAACACCAAUUUGAUAUUGUUUUUCUCUCUUUACCGCCCAUAUUAACUAACUAUGGGCUAAUGGCAACAUAACCCCCCUUAGUUUACUAAUUUAAGCUGUUAUAUUAAAAUAAAUCAAUAAUAAGCAACUUUUCCACCUAUUACAAAUUAAUCCUUUUUCUUUAAUCAAUUCACUAUACGUUAAAUUUUCUAAACCAAAACUUAAUAUAACACUGAUGACUUUGUAAAUAUUAAAUAAUUAAUAAUUUUAGAUUGACACGUCGAAAUUGUGGUCCUAAAAUCAUUAUUUUCAACACCACUAGAAAUCGGACUGUUAUAGUAUGGUUCUACCUCUUAGGGGGAGAUGUAUUCUAGUUUCCUUUCACUUGUUUAGAUGAUGUGUUAAUCAUUUGCUAUUGGUUUUGUCAAAAUGCCAAAUGGUGAGAUUGUUUGAACUUUGACUUCUUUUCUUAUUUCACUUCAUGUUCGAAGAGUAGAUUAAACCAUGCUUUGAUGCAUUCAAAGAAUUUAUGUUGGUAUAUUUGAUUUUAUAAUGAAAUGGCUUAUAGUUUAAUCUCGUUGAGUAGCAAAUGGGGAAGUGAUUUUGUAUUAUAACAUGUGAUGAUCAUUAUCUUUCAAUCAACUACCUUGGAAAAGAACGAGAGGAGUUUGAACUUUUGGGGACUUUCGUAAUAUUUGAAGCUGCUGAGAUAUUUGUUUAUAAAGACUUUUAUUUAUCAUUAAUCAAAAUAAUUCAUGAGAUAAUUUCAACCUUUAUAUUGGAGUUCUAAACUUAUGAAGACUCUAUUAUUGGCCUAUAAAUAGGCAUAAUUACCGCACAUUGAAAAUAGGCUUUUGGAGGGUUUGGAUACUUUGGUGAAUUUUUCAUUGGGCUAUAAAUAGGCAUAAUUACCGCACAUUGAAAAUAGGCUUUUGGAGGGUUUAAGUUGGAUACUUCAGUAAAUUUUUCUUGUGUUUUAUACCACACUCUUUUUAAGUUUUAUUGGAGAUAUUUAUUUGAUUGUAAGUGAGGUAUUUUGGAGAGAAUGAUUUAUAAUAAUUUAGGUUCAAUAUUAAAGUUGCAAAUAAUUACGGGUAAAAGUAAUUUGGACUGUAGUCAAUAGUUGAUCAAGACGAAUUGUAAAUUAAAAUUAUUUUCUAAGUAAAAUUCUACAAAAUAAAACUGGUAAAUUCAAACUGCGUUAAUAAAUAUUACAUAUUAUCUUUCCUUACUUUACUCGUUGCUUUACCUUAUUUUAAAAUUGUUUUGUUAUAAUCUAUUAUGUUUGAACCUUUUCGAUCGAAAUAAAAAAAAUGAGAUUGAAAUUGUGAUAAAGCUAAAAAAAGGUUACAACAAAUAUGAUUAAUAUUAUUUUUUAUAUAUACUUAAUAAAAGUUAAAAAGGGAAUUCCAUUUAUUGAAUAUUAUUUUAUUUAAUAAAAUAUAUUUUAUAUAUUUUAUAUAAAAUUUAAACAUUUUAUUGUUUGUUAGUUAAAUUUUAUUAUUUUUAUUUUCUUUAUGAAUAAAAAUAAUUUUCCUAAAAUAUGAGAUAAAAAAUGUUAUAGAGAAUUAAAUUAAUAAAAAGUACAGUUCAUACUUUAUAAUUAUUAUAAAUGAAAAAAUAUUAUGAAAAAAUAUUAAACAUAAAAAAUUAAUUCUAAAAUAAACUUAACUAUAAUAAAAUAAUUUUAUAUAAAAAAAGAAAUUAUAGAAAAGACUUAUUGAAUAUAUUUCCAAUUUUCGACAUUCAUAAAACAAAAAAUAAAAAAAGUGGUUCUAAUAAUUUAUUUAUACAAAAAAAAAAAAGUGGUCCUGACGUUCAUCCUUUCCCAUCUCUAUAAAUUUGCAUGCAGAACUAAAGCAACACAUAUCAACACAAUCUGUAUAACCAUGAAAACCACAACAGCUUCGGUGUUUCUUCUUUUCAUCAUCUUCUCAAUCACACCAUCGUCCUUUUCGUUUGGUGUGGCCAACUCUACAAACGCUCCUGUGCUCGACAGUGAUGGCAACGAGCUCCGCACGGGCACCCCAUACUUCGUUGUGUCGUCGAUAUGGGGUGCUGGUGGUGGGGGGCUUGCCCUAGGCAUGCCUAGCGGAAACCCAUGCCCGGAAGUCGUUGCUCAAAGAGGAUCCGGUGACGAUGGUAUUCCGGUGAUAUUUUCUAAUUCGGACUCCAACGAUGGCGUUGUUCGCCUAUCCUCUGACAUAAACAUAGAGUUCAUUCCCCUCAGACCCAAACUUUGCCGAACAACAACGGUGUGGAAGGUCGAUGAUUACGACCACUCAGCCGGAAAAUGGUGGGUGAUAACCGAUGGGGUUAAAGGGAACCCGGGUGCCAACACUUUGACCAGUUGGUUUAGAAUAGAGAAGUUGGGUGAUCUUGAUUACACAUUUAAGUACUGCCCCGCAGUAUGUGGAACAUGCCCAGCUUUAUGCAACGAAAUUGUGAGAGACUCAGAUGGAGAAAUGAUACGUUUGGCUCUCUCCAAUGGCCAUGGAUGGCAAUUUUACUUUAAGAAAGUUGAAACAUCAGCCAUGGAGAUUCAACAAGUUCAUAAUUAGAUUGAAAGCAAUCAUUAUGCAUGAACUAGUAGUUACUAUACAUUAUUACCUUCAAGUAAAUAAUGCCGAGAGAACUGAUUGUUAAUUAAGAUUGCCUUGUUUGAAGCAGCAGCAUGAAUAUAUAUAUAUGCUUGCUUACAAGGUUUGUCUCUCAGAGUCCUUCUCUUUGUACUCUUUCCAGCUUAAUGUAUAAACUGUCUACUUAUUUACUUCUUUUAUCGCCAUUGAUUCUAGUAGUAUUAGACUCAUUAACUUGGAUACAUUGUCUUGUAAUUAACCCAAAAAUUAUAUAUAUAUAAAAAAAGAGUGAGAGAGGAAAAUAGACUACCAAGUAACAAGCGAAAAACGGUAAUACUAGGGUUAUUUAGAGUGGUUUCAAUGCACAACGGGAAUGAAUUGUCGUUGGUUGGGUGGUUAGGGCACCUUACUUAUCUUUAGAGCUAAAGAAGGUUUCGUAACUACUCUUUCAAUAAUAUUAUUUUUAAGGUUCGAACCUGCAUUAUCCUUUGAACACGUAAUAUGUUUUAUCAUUACGCUCAACAUUAUUAAUGAUUUACUUUAUUCUAUUCUUAAUUAAUAAUUAUGAUAUAUAUUAAGUUUAAGAUGAAUUUUCUUAUUCAUGUAUAUCAAUUAAAUCAAAUAUUUGUAUUUAAAGUUUUAACCCAACAUUAACUUCUUCUUUUUUUUAUUUCUUUCUUUGUUGGUGAUGAUUAGGAGAUUGAUGGCCGGUCUUUGUGGUUGGUAGCUUUUAACACAAUGGCAAAGCCAAGGAGGCUUUAAAUGUUUAAAUGGAUUUUUUUUUCAUUUAAACUUCUUUAUAAUUUAUAAAAUUUUAAAUUAAUAAUGAUAAAAUUACAUUUUAAUCUUUUAAAAAUAAUAAAAAUGUGGAAGCACAUUUGUACGAUUAAUAAUAAUGAUAAGAUUUUUCCCACCACAUGGAAAUUUAUGGAAACGUCAUUGGGUUUUGUAUUUAUGUUUUAUUUGACACUCUUUUAAGUUUUAUUGGGAAGAUUUGCUUGAUUGUAAGUGAGGUAUUUUGGAGAGAAUGAUUUGUAACAAUUUAGAUUCAAUAUUCGAGUUGCAAAUAAAUAUAGAGUAAAGUAAUUUGGGCUUAGUGAAUUAUAGAAUAAAAUCAUAUUCUAAACAAAAUUUUAUAAAAUAAAAUUAAUGAAUCCUAACUAAGUUAACAAAUAUUUCUUCACUCUAGGCAUUGCUUCACCUUAUCUCAAAAUUGUUCUGUAAUAAUCUAUUUUGUCUCGACCUUUCCAACAGAAUUUAAAAUGAAACUAUUUCUGAUAAGUGCAGGCCAAAAACUUUUUCGCGUACCAAUAAAUGGCAAGCGACCAUACUGUGGGCCCAAUGUCCCAACAAUCAUCUAAACAUUUUUUUUAAUAAUAUGUAAUAAUUUAUAUACCAUAUAUGAAUAUUAAUUAAAAUAAUAUAAUAUGGACCCAAAUUGUUUCAUAUUUGAAAUCCAAUUUUUGAUAAUUUCACAUUUCAUAUUUUAUCUUAGAACAAAAAAAAUAUAUUUGAACUUAAUAUUUGGCCUAUUAAUCAAUGGUGUUUACUAUAUUUUAAGACUAUCGAAUUAAUCUAUCGACACUACUUGUAUGGUAUAAUUUAAAUGGGUGUGUGUGGGUAUAUAAAUUUGAAAUUCUAUUGUAUCAAAGAAAAAUUUAGAAAAAAAUAAAAAAAAAAAAGAAUUUGCAAUUUAUAAUUUGAGAUAAAAAUAAAAAAAUGAGAUUUGUGAUAAACCAUAAAUUAAGCUCAAAAAAAGUUACAACAAAUAUGGUUAAUGUUAUUUAUAUAUAUACUUAAUAAAAGUAAAAAUAUCGAAAUUCCAAUAUUAUUUUUAUUUAAUAAAAUAUAAUUAAUAUAUUUUAUAUAAAAUUUAAAUAUUUUAUUGAAAUAUUAUGUUAGGUAAAUUUAUAAAUAAAAUUAAUUUUACUAAAAUUUGAGAUAAGAGAAUUAAAUUAAUAAAAGGCAUAUUUCAUAUUUUAUAGUUAUUAUUAAUAAAAAAUUAUUAUAAAAAUAAAAAAUCAAUUCUACAACAUAAUGAAAUAUUUUUAUUAAAAAAACCAGAAAUGAUUGAUGGAAUAUAUUUCCAAUUUUCGACGUUCAUAAAAAAAAAAAGAGUGGUCCUAAUAAUUUAUUUAUUGGGAAAAAAAAAGUGGUCCUAUUAAUUUACCUCACAUUUGAAAUGUGUUAUAUGUAAUAAUAAUAAUAUCUAUAUAAAUUUUGGACGUUGAUCCUUUCCCAUCUCUAUAAAUUCGCAUGGAGAACUAAAGCAACACAUAUCAACACAAUUUAUAUAACCAUGAAAACCACAACAGCUUCGGUGUUUCUUCUUUUCAUCAUCUUCUCAGUCGCACUAUCGUCCUUUUUGUUUGGUGUAGCCAACGCUACAAACGACCCUGUGCUCGACAUUGAUGGCAACGAGGUUCAAACUGGCACCCCAUACUACGUUGUGUCGUCGAUAUGGGGUGCUGGUGGUGGGGGGCUUGCCCUAGGUAGGCCUAGAGGAAAGCCAUGCCCGGAAGUCGUUACUCAAAGACGAUCCGGUGACGAUGGUAUUCCGGUGAUAUUUUCUAAUUCGGACUCCAACGAUGGCAUUGUUCGCCUAUCCUCUGACAUAAACAUAGAGUUCAUUCCCCUCAGACCCAAACUUUGCCGAACAACAACGGUGUGGAAGGUCGAUGAUUACGACCAUUCAGCCGGAAAAUGGUGGGUGAUAACCGAUGGAGUUAAAGGGAACCCGGGUGCCAACACUUUGACCAGUUGGUUUAGAAUAGAGAAGGUGGGUGAUUUAAGUUACAAAUUUAAGUACUGCCCCACAGUAUGUGGAACAUGCCCAGCUUUAUGCAACGAAGUUGGGAAAGACUCAGAUGGAGAAAUGGUACGUUUUGCUCUCUCCACUGGCCCUGGAUGGUCAUUUUACUUUAAGAAAGUUGAAAAAUCAGCCAUGGAGAUUGAACAAGUUGUUCAUAUUUAGAUUGAAAGCAAUCAUUCUGCAUGAACUAGUAGUUAUUAUAUAAUAUUAGCUUCAAGUAAAUAAUGCUGAGAGAACUGAUUGUUAAGAUUGCCUUGUUUGAAGCAGCAGCAUGUAUAUAUAUAUAUGCUUGCUUACAAGGUUUGUCUCUCAGAGUCCUUCUCUUUGUACUCUUUUCAGCUUAAUGAAUAAACUCUUUACUUAUUUACUUCUUUUGUUGCCAUUGAUUCUAGUAUUAGACUCAUUAACUUAGAUACAAUGACUUGUAAUUAACCAAAAAGUUGUAUAUAUAUAUAAAAAGAGUGUGUGAGGGAGGAAAAUAGAAUACCAAGUACAAAGUGGAAAAUGUUAAUACUAGGAUUAUUCAAAGGGAUUUCACUGGACAACAGGAAUGGAAUAGUGGUUUGGUGGUUAGGGCAUUUUAUCUUUAGAGAUAAAAAAAGGUUGGUUCAUGUUCGGAGUUUGUGACUACUCCUUCAACAAUGUUAUUUUUAAAGUUUAAACUUGCGUCACCUUUUAAACACGUAAUAUAUCUUACCAUUACACCCAAUAAUAUUAACUAUUUACUCAAUUGUAUUCUAUCCUAUUAUUAAUUGAUGAUUGUUAUAUAUAUUAAGUUUAAGAUGAAUUUUCUUAUUAAUGUAUAUCAAUGGAAUCAAAUAUUUGUAUUUAAAAUUUUAACUCCACAUUAACUUUUUUUUUUGUUCGUUUGCUGGCGGUGAUUAGGAGACUAAUGGUUGGUCUUUGUGGCUAGUAGCUUUUAACUCAAUAGCAAACUCAAGGGUUGAUAGGGGCAGACUUCACUUAAAGGGAAAAUUUCUUAUUUAAAUUCUUUUAUAAUUUAUAAAAUUUUAAAUAAAUAAUAAUAAAAUUACAAUUUAAUUCUCAAAAAUUGAUAAAAAUGUACAAGCAAAUUUGAACAAUUAAUGAUAAUAAUGACAAGAAGUUGUUUCCUGCCACAUGGAAAUUUAUGGAAUCGUCCAUUUGGUUUUAUAUUUGUCCAUUUGCUUGAAUGGUUAAGAGGAGAAAAACAAAUUAUAAUUAAGUAUACAAAACCAAACGAAUUUCAAGGGUUUUCUCUUCAAUUAUUGUCGACUUUAGCUAAUUAUUAGUAACUUUUUAUUAUUUAAUUAUAAAAAAUUAUAAAAUAGUGACUUAACUGUAAAAAAUAUAUAUAAAAUAGUUAUCUAACUAUUUACUUUUUUUUUUAUCAUCACCUGAUUAAUGGUGGUAAUUUUUAUACUUGACAUAAUAGUAACUUUAACCAUCAAUAAUUAUACAUUAUGUCAAUUUAGUCUUGAUUUUAAAAAAUUUAACCCUCAAUAUUUACAUAUUGUGUAAUUUAAUAUUUUUAUUGUUUUGUUUUUCGUUGCUAAAAAUAAAUUAUAAAAAUGAUAAAAUAUGCAUAAAAAUAAUAAUGCAGGCACCGAUUAUGUGUUAUUAUAGAUUUAUAACAAUUAUCUUUUUAUAAAAAUAUUUUAUUAUAAAUAUAUAAUAAGCACUUCUCUGUAACAAACGGAAUUAUUAUAAAGAAGGUUUAAUGUAUUUUUCAAUUUUCUAUUUUCAUAAUAAUAAUAAUAAAUGAAAAGAAAAAAGUGGUUCAAUUAAUUUAUCCUUUCCCAUCUCUAUAAAUUGACAUGGAGAUCUAAAGCAACACAUACCAACACAAUUGAUCUGUAUAACCAUGAAAACCACAAAAGCUUCAGUGUUUCUUCUUUUCAUCAUCUUCUCAGUCACACCAUCAUCCUUUUUGUUUGGUGUGGCCAACGCUACAAAUGAACCUGUGCUCGACACUGAUGGCAACGAAGUCCAAACUGGCACCGAAUACUACGUUGUGUCGGCGAUAUGGGGUGCUGGUGGUGGUGGGCUUGCCCUAGGCAGGCCAAGCGGAAACCCAUGCCCGGAAGUCGUUGCUCAAAGACGAUCUGGUGACGACGGUAUACCGGUGAUAUUUUCUAGUUCGGACUCCGACGAUGGAGUUGUUCGCCUAUCCUCUGACAUAAACAUAG
Molecule: long non-coding RNA, 63701 nt
Filed under: Gossypium barbadense (sea-island cotton)
Lineage: Eukaryota; Viridiplantae; Streptophyta; Magnoliopsida; Malvales; Malvaceae
Description: long non-coding RNA (GBAR_LNC020333)
Source: RNAcentral